Molecule: long non-coding RNA, 52970 nt
Filed under: Triticum aestivum (bread wheat)
Lineage: Eukaryota; Viridiplantae; Streptophyta; Magnoliopsida; Poales; Poaceae
Description: long non-coding RNA (TAES_LNC016171)
Source: RNAcentral
UAAACACUCUUAUAUUUCUUUACAGAGGGAGUAGAUUGGAGAUGCCCUAACUACUCACAAUAUUUUUCACUGCAGUGGUAUAUUCAAUAAAAAGGCUCAAUGUACAUCAACAAUUACAUUACAUUCUGGCAUGAAGUAAUUGAGAUUUAUCAGCAUCCAUAUACAAUUCACAACAGGUACUUUAUCAGCAUCCACAUACAAUUCACAACAGGUACUUUAUCAGCAUCCACAUACAAUUCACAACAGGUACUUUAUCAGCAUCCACAUACAAUUCACAACUGGUACUUCACAGGCAUCCUCGUGAUCCAAAUGCUAAAGCCAAAAAAAGGACAAGAGAAUAAAACUCACGGAGCUAGCUAUGAUAGUUUAACCAUGGAUAACACAUCACCACUUCAUCUUAACAGCCAGCUUUCAGAACUCAGAACUGAUGCCACAGAUAGCUAAAUUUAGAGGGCGGCAUUCACUGGCCACAGCAUCGACCUUCACCAUGUCAACAGAAAACUAGGGAGAAGAGCACUGUUACUCAAUCUUCACAGACAACUAGGGAGAAGAGCACUGUUACUCAAUCUUCACAGACGAGUAAAUCAGCCUAGUGAACAUUAAACAGGCGUAGAAUCCAAUUGUACCCGUCAAGGCAAAGAACGCAUACGAGGCGAUGAGCAUGUAGCCGAAGUAAAGGAUGGCUGACACAAACUUUGUGAUCUCCAGCUUUGUGUAGAAGUAGAAAGUCGCAUAUAGGAAGAGGUACAGGGCAGAAGAUCCUGAUGUCAAGUAUGAUCUCCACCACCACAGGUAAUCCUCACUGCAUAGCUGGAAGUAGCAGAGCACAAUCGAGAUCUCAGCACAUGUGACGAUUAGAAUAAGGAAGACAAGGAAGAGGAACCCAAAGAUGUAGUAGAAUUGGUGCAGCCAGAUGGAGGUCAGGAUAAAGAAGAGCUCAAUGAACACAGCUCCAAAUGGAAGGAUCCCUCCAAUUAGAAUCGAAAAGAUUGAGUUCAUGUACCAGGCUUGCUCAGGUACCUGCCUGGGUAUCUUGUUUGUUUUCACUGGGUCUUCAAUGGCUGGUUUCUUGAAACCAAGGUAACUCCCAACAAACACUAAAGGCACCGAGAUACCAAACCAAAGGAGGACAAGGGCAAACAUUGUGGUGAAUGGAACUGCACCAGAGGACUUCUGCCCCCAGAUAAGAAUAUUCAAGAAGAAGAAAACAGUGAACACACUGCCAGGGAAGGUGAAUGCUGUCCUCAAGGCAAUGUUCUUCCACUCUGAGCCCUUGAACAACUUGUAAAGACGUGAAGAAGAGUAGCCAGCAAGCAAACCCAUGAAAACCCAAAGCAAGAGCAUAGCUGUCAUCAGUCCACCUCUGUUGGAUGGAGAAAGGAAGCCAAGGACUGCAAAGACCAUCGUGACAAGCAUCAUGCCAAAAAACUGGACACCUGUACCAACAUAAACACAGAGCCAAUCAGAGUUGGCAGGCGGCCUGAAAACAUCACCAUGAACAAGCUUCCAUCCAGUUUCUUCUUGGGCUUCCUCCUGAGUCUCAAGCUGGUUAUACUUGGAGAUGUCCCGAUAAAGGGUCCGAAGCAUGAUCAUUGCAACCAUUCCGGAAAGGAAGAGAACGAUCAUGAGAGAAUUUACAAUGGAGAACCAAUGGAUUUGAUCGUCUGUCAUCAGCAGAUAACUAUCCCAGCGAGAUGCCCACUUGAUAUCACUCUCCUGCAAGUUGAUAAGAGUAGUUGAAAGAAUUAGUAAAUAAUAUCAAGCUCCGCCUAGGACACACUAAACAAUACUAUAGCAAAUACAAUCACUUCAAUAGUGUCGAACCUAAAAGGUUUACACAUUAAUUAUCACCUUGAAAUCCACAUCGUAUGUGAAGACAAUGUCUUUGCCAGCUUCAACCUCCUGAGGAGAAUCAGAUGAUGUAAUUAUACGUUUCGCAUUCGGAUCGCAAGUGGUCAGAUGAGUCUUCUUGUCAUUCCACUGUCCAUAUUCGUGCUUGACACUGCAGCAUAUGCCAUUGUUUUUCAGAUUCAAAUCACCACAACCUGAAUUUUCAAAUAAUUACAAGCUCAAAUGUACCUGUAGGGUUUUACUUCAAAGGCCACUAUCCUAGAAACAUCCCUUUGUGCAUCCCUGUGAUAUUUCACCGUGAAGGACAAAUGAUUGUGGAUGAAGUACUUUUCAUCCUUACUCUGUCAAACAACCAAGAAAAGUAAAGUGCACAGAAGAACUUUGCCCCCAGAUGACAUUUGAUCAAUACAUAAUAGUUUAACUUACCCCUGAGUAUUGUCCUUUGGCUCCAACAUGGAACCCAUGUUGAUAGAAAUAAGCACCUUCUUGAUCCACUCUUUGAAUAGGAACAACUAGAGGUAGGUUGUCAAGAAUCCUGUUGGAUGUAGAGAAUUUAUGUGAGACCUACCGAUAGACAUCAAUAAAAUCUUAGAUAAUCCAGAAAUUAAAUGACUAACAUACAUGUUCACGCGGUACUCAUCUUCAAUCUUUUCCUUGAGAACCUUUCCUUCUUUUUCCCCAACUGAAAUCUUGCAGACUAUUUGACACAUCUGAGGUACCCUCAUUUCAAACUGGAAAACAUAGACAUGAAAAGUUAAAGGCCAACUGUGCAAAGUACCGGGCAAAGAAAACAAUGGAUAGAAAAAGAACAAACCACAUAUGGAGAGUUCUCAAUGCGAUCCCCACGGAGAACUUCACCCAGAUUUUCAGCACUGUCAACGAUCGUAUCUGGCUUGCAGAAUGGGAGAGAGUAGAAGGAGUAGGGAAGUUGUGUCUUAAUUGAAGUCAGUUUAUUGACUUUCACAGGGAGAUGGUCUUUCUGCAUUGAACCAUAAUAAUUCAGUUAGCAGUUGCAUACGAACAAGUGAAUCCCAGUUAACUGAACUCUAAGGGGGAAAAAAGGUGAGCAUGGAGCAUGGCCCAAAACUUGCAUAAACCAUUUACCAGCUUACUGCAUAAUGUAUGCUAGUAAGUUGGAUAUGAAUUAUUAGAUGGAGAUUCAAAUCUUUGAGUUAUCAACCAACAAAUGUAAUUCCUAUGAAAAUCGUUUGAAUCAAAGAAGCACUGACACUGUUGAAAAGGGCCACACAUCCUAGCGAACUCCAGUUUUAAAGGCCAAUGUUUUUUCCCACCUGAGAUUUUACAGCUUAUAAACGAGCAAAUCUGCAUUCCAAAACUUAGUCGGUCCUCGAAAAUCACUUAGGCAACUUAUAUCACGAUUUAAUGACAAGCAUUGACGACCAUAAAUCAUCUUUUAAAUCCGCAUUGCCGCCAGCGCACCAGCUGCCAAUCAGCCGUCAAUCUCCGUGCAUUGACUACUAAAUCUCGUCACCCCAUUCCCAUGGCAUGUUCAUUCGUCCUAACGCACAAGCAGGCGCGGGGGCAACCAUAAUUUCGAGCGACAAGCAUAGUUCUAAGUUUGGCUUCUCGAAAUGCAUACACUCCGCGCACCACCUACAUUGCGCGAGGCCACAUCACAAUCUAACCCCGUGACAGCACGGAGAUCUCCGAGACACCCAGCCGCGCGAGCCCAGAUCUGGGCAUGCUGCGCCCAGAUCCGACCAGAACACGAUCCUGCACGGGAGGGGUCCACGCAAGCAGGGAGGAAAUAGAGUUUGCCGCAAGAUAGUACGGUGGGUACCUUUUCGAAGUCGUUGGGCGCGACGCCCGGGAGGUAGAAUCCGGCGGCCGGGACCACAAGGAGGCAGAGCGCGGCGAGGACGACGGACAGAGCCGCCGCCGUCGCCGGCAGCGAUAUCGUCAUGGGGAACGGAGGCGGUGGGCGAGGGUCGCUCACGGUUCGCUCGAGCGCUCGGGCCGGUGAGAGUGGCGAGAGGAGAAUGGCUUUUCCGUUGCGACGAGGUGGUGUUUUAAUGGAGAAAGAAAAUGCGAAAGCGUCGUAUCCCUACCUACCUUUUUUGUUUUUUCAUACUUUUUUCUUUUUCGUAAAUACGCAAAGUUCACGCAUCUUUUCAUUAACUAGGUAAUUGCCCGUGCGUUGCUACAGGAGAUAAAUAAUUUUCAACGCACCAUUGUGUUUAGAGAUCAUCAGAUAAUCUACCUAAUCCUAUAAACAUGUUGUUUUGAGCCACAUUAAGAUACAUGAGCAUCAGUUUUUCAUUGCAAUGUCAAAAUGUCAGAAAAGGUGAAAAUAAAUUUCUUGCUUUCCUAUUUAAUUCCAAAGUGAAAGUAACUCGAGCAUGUCAAAUACCAAAGUCCAGCAAACCCACGUGCAAUGACAACUUUUUUAUCUAAUCUUGGUAAAAGAUUCAUAUAUAAAUAAUAAAACACGAAAGAGAUAUUUAGUACGUACCAUGUAGCCCCUUUUGAUGUUCUGACCAGAGAUAUAAUGCUUUAGUGAGGUCAAAACUCCUGAGCUAAUAGAUAAACUAAUUAUCAGGAUCCUAAAGAAACAAUUACAUAAUUUGUGAACGCACCAUACUAAACAAAAUAAAAUUUAUUCAUCUGUACGUACACACAGUUUGACAUACAAAUUUCUUGCACACAUUACAGAGUUAGCAAUUCAUGCUCCUUGCUAAUAUCGUAAAGCAGAUUAAAUAAACAAGGGUGCUUCUGAGCAAAUUUUUAUCUUCAUAUAAUCCACGAACUGCACAAUGCAAGUCCUUAGCAGAAGGGGUGGAGAGCCAUGGUCCUUUUCUCAGAUCAAAGAACCGGAAAAAAAAUGCGCAGUGGAAGCAGUGCUUUCCUUGGGUGGUGAAUUGGUUCCAUUCCCGGCGCACGCAGGUGUAGUCAUUACCGAUGUACACUAUGAAGAGGAAUACGACAACAAGAGCGCGUCGGCAUCAAGCACCGACCCGUCAAGGCCGCGGGGCCUGACGAGCAGGUGCAUAAGCACGUCUACAAAGAACGACACUGUCCGCGGCGCACACACACACGUCCUCCAUCUCCCGACAAUGGUUGUGCGUGGCCAUGCAGCACCACGCCCUCCAUGAGUACUCUUCCUCCCGCAACGAGCGCCGCCAGCCCGUCCAUGAGAUCUACCCACGCAAUCCUGCAUAACCGCCUUGCCGCUCGCCACCACGCGCCCUUGGACACCAAAGUGAGUGCAUUAUGAGAUUAUCUGCCAAAUUACCAUAUGCAUUUGGCGUAGACCAAUCAUAUCUGCAUUGCCACAUUGUAUAUUACCCUGAUUGCUCCAUAGAAUGGAGAAAUGGGCAGUUCCCGCAGUGAUUUAUACUACCGCGAUUACUUCCUGAAAACCGUGAUUACAUGCCUGUUUUACAGCCUUCUAUAUUAUGGUGUGAUUUCUAUUACCAUGAUUGAUCCGUAUAUUACAAGAUAGGCAUGUAAAUCACACCGAGGUUGCUUCCUGAAAAUACCAGGAAGUUGCCCUGUAAGUUUUCCUAUUGAUGUAAAUAAAUCAAAGUGAGUUAUUGGCAUACCAAACGGAAUUUAUCAGCUUACCAAACCGAAUGUAAGUUACCCCACCCGACUGAUAUGCAGGAGUUUCCUUACCGAUUGAAAAUCGAGUUGACUAAAAAUAGGAAGGGAAAAAACGUGUGUGGGUGGGAUCGUGGGGGUGACGAAGGGGUUGGACGACGAACGACGUAAGAGGGGAGACGAAACAUUCCGUUUCUUUUAGGUAGUAGAGAUAUAGAAGGAAUAAGAAAUACUCUCUUCGUUCCUAAAUAUUUAUCUUUUUAGAGAUUUCAAAUAGACUACCACAUACGGAUGUAUAUAGACAUGUUUUAUAGUGUAGAUUCGCUCAUUUUGCUCUGUAUGUAGUCAUUCGUUGAAAUCUCUAGAAAGACAAAUAUUUAGGAACAGAGGGACUAGUACGGAUAAGGAUACAUUGCAUGACACGAACGCAAAGAGGCAUGAACAUGGCACCUGAAACAAAGAAGGGUGUUCGGCCCAAACAUAGAAAACUACAUAGCUAUACCCAUCGAGCCCGAAACAAGAGAGGUGGGCCGAACCAACAAAACGACUAACAUCACCAAAUACUAGCACCAGGGACACCGAGAGCGAGCAAGAUUGCCCCUUCAAGAAGGAAAAACGACACGCAACACCGCCGCCAUCUGGAUAACCGGACUUAGGGUACCCCCUGUGCGUGAAGAGGGGCGUAGAUGAAGGUCGGGGCAGCAGCCGAGCAGAGAUUUCUCCCUGGCUUGAUUCUGAGCAAUCCUAUAGCCGCCGGAUCCGGAAAAUUGAGAUGGGGAAGUCAUUGUUGGCUGGAGCCGCCAAAUCUGGGGGGGGGGGGUAUGCCGCCGGAAGGUGGCACCUGACGCCACCAGACACACGGCAAAGGAUCUGGCACAAAGCGAGGCGCAGAGGAACAUCAUCAGAGGUGCAGUGAGGCAGAGAGAACCGACGCGGGGGAAGCAGCAGCGACAAAGCGACGCAAGGAAGAGUUUGUAGUUGUGCUCCUUCCAGCUCAUUCGGCCAUCCAGGAUCUGAGUUGUCACUCGAGAACGUAGGUCCUGAGGCUGCCGGGGCCGAGGAAACAUGAUGCGGAGCAUCCUUUGGUCAUCCCCAUGGACCUUUCGUCGCCUCACCAAGCACCAAAAGGACCCAUGACUAGAGCACGAGCUCGAGCUCUCGAGAUCGAGGUGACUUCUCUCAUUAGUGAUAUAUCAUAUGACCCUCUCAAGACAUGGCUACCUCAAUCCGGAAUGUUGUGCAUGAUUAGAUACCAAGAGGACCCUCCCGAGGAUGCACAUGAAGAUGAACAAGACCCCAAGUCCACGGACGAAGAGAACCCAUGGAAGAAGGCAAAAGAGGCUUCCAGGCACCGGACAUCCGGCCCAAGUCCCGGACAUCCGGUCCCUGGAGAUACACAUAGCCAGCUCUUGCAGAAGAAGGCUCCAGCAACCGGACAUUCGGCGUCCAGCCCGGACAUCCGGCGCCCCACCGGAAAUCCGGCCUCCCGCCCGGAUAUCCGGCCCCAGCAUCCUGAAUACACUAAAGAGGACCCCAACAGCCCGGACAUCCGCCAGAACCACCGGACAUCCGGUCCCUCCGGAAGCACCGAACAUCCGGCACCACCAGCCCGGACAUCCGGUCCCUCAUGAAGCCCCGGACAUCCGGCCCGACGCCCGGACAUCCGGCGCCUCCUGCCUGCGCGCAGCUACUCUGGGCCAUGACCCAUGUAUCCCUUCGCCCCCUGACUAUAUAUACCCCCUCCUCCCGUACGUUUUAGGGUUAGCGUUGAUUUAGCUCAGAUUAGAGAUAGAGCUUCGCUCAUCCAUCGGAUCUCCUCUUCGUGAGAGACCGCGGCCUCCUCGGAGAAGAUCCAAUCGGAUUCAAGACCCCCUCGUGGGACGAUCCCCCUCGUGGAUUCAAGACCUCCUCACAGAGAAGAUCGGUUACCUUUGUAUCCUUACCUUUGUUGAUUGUGGAUCAUAUGUAUCUCUUUGUGUUCGGUGAUCUAGCCCUCGUGUGAUUGAUUCUAUGUCGGUUUCGUGAUUCUCUCUCGUUUUCCCCGUGUUUUCCCCUUUGUGCUUCCGCGUGUUCUUCGUGAUUCCCCGUAGGAUCCACUCCAAACGUGAAAGAUCGUCCACAUAGGGUUCCGCCCUACAUCAUCUUGGUAUCAUGAGCCAGGUUGAUCACAUUUUUGGAGCCCCUACCCCGUGUUUUCUAGCUUGAUUUUGUUGUUUUCGUCCUAAAUCCGAAAAUUCCCCAACAAAAAUAGCCCCAAAAUUUUUUGUCAUUUGUUGGUGAGUUGAGAUUUUGUUGGAUUUGGUCCAUGGAUUUGUGUUGCUGCGUGUGGAUCUAGCUUUCCCCACCCUCCCCACCCUUUUCCAUCCACCGUUCCGUCCGAAUUUUGCCCCGGAGUUGCGAUUUUCCCGUGGAGUUCUUCGAGUUUGUCCCCGAUCCAGGAGCCCGGACAUCCGCCGUGUCCACCGGACAUCCGGCGUACCGAACAUCCGGCAGCUGGCCCGGACAUCCGGCCCCUGGCAGCUACAACUCCAACCCCCCAAGCCCUUUUGCCACCAUAAUUUCGUCCAAUUUUGCCCGGAGCCCACAACUACUUCCGCAUACCCAUACCACUUACCACCAACACCACCACCGAUCACCGCUACCUCCUAUGUCAAUUUUGACACGUUUUGGUCUUUGAGAGUUUGGGUUGUGGUUUACCGUGUCCUAUUGUGUUUCAGCUAUAUAGGUACGGUUCAACGUCAACAUCACCACUGCUCAUCUUCACCGACUACUCAUCAUCACCAAGGACGGUAACUUCGACGACAUCUUUGUCAUACCUUGCAAUUGCAUUGAUACCCACAUUGCCUCAUUUUGCGUAGCUUACCCAUCGAGACUAGCCAUUGAGUAUUGUUGGCAACGCGACUUGUGCACAUUAGUGGUCAUACUCCAUAGCAUACAUACCAUACAAUAGUGGUGCAUAUCUUGAGAUCAACUUGUGUGUCAUAAAGUUGUCAUAGCAUACACAAUUACUAUCUUGGUUCGUGAAGUUUUGCAUGAGAAAAGAGCUCAAAAGUGAAAGAGCCACCCAAGCUUUUAAGCAAAGAGGAAAGAUAAGCAAAGAGCUUAUAAGCAAGAACCAUAGCAUCAUACAACAUUAAGAUUGUCAUAUCCGAUCAUCUUGGAUCAUAGCACUGAAAUAUCAUACAUAUAGCAUACUUGGGAUAGAGAUCGUUGCAUUUUUGCCUAGUAGGUUGUGCACAAGUUUGUGUAUCCGCCUAUUGUGCAAUCGUGCUAGCGUCUCUCUAGUAUUGUGCAACAAGAGCAUUCUCGUGGUUUCCACAUUUUGGCUCACUUUUGGAUUGCACAAUCCCAUUUAUCUAUUUGCGUGUGUGUUUCCGUGUACCCAUACUUGCUUGGUCUACUUGUUGCAUUUGCAAAUUUGUGAAUCUUUUCCAACAUUAUUGAAACUCACUUACUAUUGCAUCAAAUUUUGUGCCACCAUCCUAACCAAGCUCCACCAUAAGCUUUUACGUGUGUAGGUGUGAGAAUCGACGAGAAUUGGUACCAACAGUGCUAUUUCAUUGUUCGCAUUUGAGUGAACUUGAUUCAUAUUCAACUUCGAUCAAGGUACAUUUGGUAUACAUUCUUUUCCUUCUACCACUUACAUUUUGCUUGGAAUGAUGGAUAGGCCAAGUUCUUCUACCACUCCACCUCUCAUCGAGAACGACGACAAUAUGACAUCAUUUGUAACCAAGAUUCACCUAUUUGGAGCUCAAAAGGCAUUGCACCAAGAACAACAAGCAAUGAGGGACUACUUCGACAACAAAUUCGACGCUCACAAGCAGGAGAAUGAUGCAAGAAUGGACGAGAUCCGCGCCUUCAUGAGGAACCGGCGUCCUUCCACUUCUUCAUCCUGAAGACGGAGCCGCUCGACUCGACACUCCGACGACACCUUCUCCGACUCAAGUACACCGUCAUCGAACACUCUUCGACGAGCUGCGCGUCAAGACCGGCAUGCAUCUCGGAACCCGCUACAUGACAAGCAUACACAAGAACAAGUCGAGGAGCAAAUCCCUCGUCCUCAAUCAAACCAAGUCGCUUUUGCACAAGCUCAAGAACGACAACGACUACGACGCCAAGAAGAAGAGCGAGCGCGCCUACACCAAGAGGAACAAGAUGCCGAGAAUCAACGUCUUCAACAACAACAAUGUGAAGCGCAAGCUCUUGAGGCGCAACGUGCUCUUCAAGAAUCGAGUCGAGCAAUCGCCAACCGCAAUCGCGAAAGGCGCAAUCAAGAGGAAGCCCUUAGAGAAGAAAUCCAAGAGAGGAACUACCACCCGCGAGUGCAACCUCAAGCUCCACAAGCUCCUCCACAAGCUCUCCAAGCUCCACCUCAAGCUCAAGUUCAACAAGAGCAAGUUGAUCAUGGACUUCAUCCACGCCAAGAGCAACAUGAGGAUGACUAUCCUCCACGUCAAGGAUGUCAUCAUCAUCAUCGCCAACAACACAAUGAAGAGCAACGCUAUGGCAAGCUCAAGUUCACAAUGCCCAAGUUCAAUGGGAGCAAUGAUCCGGAAGAGUACCUCUCAUGGGCAUUGAAGGUCGACAAAAUUUUCCGCUUGCACAACUAUGAGGAAGAGAAGAAGAUCGAUAUGGUAUCACUUGAGUUCCAAGACUAUGUGCUCAUAUGGUGGGAACAAGUACUUGAACGCCGUCAAGCAAGAGGUGAACCACCAAUCAACACUUGGGCUCAAAUGAAGGAUGUCAUGCGAGCACGCUUUGUACCAACAUACUACAACCGCGAUCUCUUCAAGAAGCUACAACUCCUCAAGCAAGGAACAAAGAGUGUUGAAGAAUACUACAAGGAAAUGGAGAUAGCCAUGAUUCGAGCCAAUGUCACGGAAGAUGAUGAGCAAACAAUGGCACGUUUCUUAAAUGGACUCAAUCAUCCCAUCAAGAAGAUUGCCUACUUCCAACCCUACUCCAACCUCAUUGAGCUCGUACAUCAAGCAACCAAGGUCGAACGUCAAGUGCAAGAUGACCUCAAGUAAGCCAAGUACUCAUCCAAGACCUACGGCUUCUCCAACAUCCAAGCUUCAACGACUCCUUCAACAUCUACAUCAACCAAGCCGUCUCCAAGCAACGACGACAAGUCAAAUUACAAGAAAACUUCGGCAAGUUCAAGUCGUCUUCCUCCUACUACAAGCAACUUCAAGCCGCGUGCUUCAUCAUCUACUCCAACCGAUGAGACCGUCAAAACAAGCUCCUUCAAGUGUUUCACUUGCGGCGGCCGAGGCCACAAGUCCUUCCAAUGCAUGAACAAGCGCACCAUGAUCCUCAACGACGACGGCACAUAUGACUCAAUGAGUGAAGAGGAGAUGGAAGCCCUUGAGCAAGUGGCCAUGCACCGGCGCGUGAACGAGGAUGAAGAUGAUCAAGUCUUUUGUGAUGAGGAUUCGAGCCCCGCUCUCGUUGUCUCCAAAGUCUUGGCACUUCAACAUCAACAAGAAGAAGACCAACGAUGCCACAUAUUCCAUACUAAGGCCGGCAUCAAUGGAAGGUCCGUCAAGCUCAUCAUCGAUGGAGGUAGUUGCCACAACUUGGCAAGUGAAGAACUAUGUUCCAAGCUUCAAUUGGUCAAGAGGAAGCACCCGCACCCCUACAAGGUUCAAUGGCUAAGUGACUCCGGCACUAUACGAGUCGAGCAUACGGUCCAAGUCUCCUUCAAAAUUGGUGCUUAUGAAGACACUUUGGAGUGUGAUGUGGUCCCAAUGAUCGUUUGCCACCUCCUUCUUGGUCGACCAUGGCAAUUCGACCGUGGUGUCAUCCACAAUGGGCGCACCAACCACUAUAGCUUGAAAAUGAAAGGGAAGGAAUAUGUGUUACGACCUAUGUCUCCUAGUCAAGUAAUAGCCGACAAGCAAACCACCAAUCAUGGAGAGAAGAGUGAAAAAGUGACACACCCAAAAGUGAGUGGAGCCACAAGCCAAAUUUGAGCGCCUCUUCGCCUAGAGAGAAAAACCUCACCUAUUUGCCACCAAAAGUGAGAUGAGAGAAGUGUGUGAGAACCCAUCGAGUGUGAUGCACUUUGUCCUUGUGUGCAAAGAUGGGGAGCCAACAACUAACACUUCUCACGAGCUACCUUUAGUGUUUCAAUCUCUUUUGCAGGAAUUCCAAGAUGUUUUCCCCGAUGAGCUACCUCUGGGUCUACCUCCACUACGAGGAAUUGAGCAUCGAAUUGACCUCAUCCCCGGAGCGCCACUUCCAAACAAAGCUCCAUACCGAGUCAAUCCCGAAGAAACCAAGGAGAUUCAACGGCAAGUACAACAACUCAUCGACAAUGGUCAUGUAUGUGAAAGCUUAAGCCCAUGUGCUGUUCCCGUUAUACUUGUGCCUAAGCCCGAUGGAAGUUUCCGCUUGUGUUCCGAUUGUAGACCUAUAAAUGCUAUUAUCGUUCGCUAUAGGCAUCCCAUUCCUCGCUUAGAUGAUAUGCUUGAUGAGCUUAGCGGAGCCAACUUUUUCUCCAAAAUUGAUCUUAAAAGUGGCUAUUAUCAAAUCUGCAUUCAAGAAGGUGAUGAAUGGAAAACCGCUUUCAAAACCAAAUUUGGCUUAUAUGAGUGGUUAGUAAUGCCUAUGGGUUUGUCGGAAGCUCCCGGUACUUUCGUGCGUCUUAUGCAUCAUGUGCUUAGACCUUACAUAGGAGUCUUCGUUGUGGUUUACUUUGAUGAUAUCAUUGUGUUUAGCAAAACCAUGAAAGAGCACAUUAAUCAUGUUAAAUCUGUGUUGCAAACCCUCCGCAAGGAAAGCCUUUAUGCGAACUUGAAAAAAUGCACUUUUGGCGUUGACAAAGUGGUUUUCUUGGGUUUUGUUGUCUCUUCCAAGGGUGUCCAUGUUGAUGAAACUAAGAUUAAGGCAAUUAAAACUUGGCCCCAACCCACCAAUUUGCAACAAGUGCGUAGUUUUCUUGGUCUUGCAGGAUUUUAUCGCCGCUUUGUGAAAAACUUUAGCACAACUGCCGCUCCUUUGCAUGCCUUGAGUAAGAAGAAUGCUCCUUUUGUUUGGGGAUCUUUGCAAUCCACUGCUUUUGAUGAGCUCAAGUCUUUGCUUACUCAUGCUCCAAUUCUUGCUUUGCCCGACUUUGACAAAACUUUUGAGGUUCAUUGUGAUGCAAGUGGUACCGGAAUUGGCGGAGUUUUGAUGCAAGAAAAACGAGUCAUUGCAUAUUUUAGUGAAAACCUCUCCAGUGCUCAACUUAACUAUCCCAUCUAUGACAAAGAAUUGUAUGCUUUAGUGCAUGUGCUACAUGUUUGGGAACAUUACCUUAGACCUCAUGAAUUUGUCAUCCAUACCGAUCAUGAAACGCUUAAGUACUUAAAAGGUCAAACUAAGUUGAACAAGCUUCAUGCCAAAUGGAGUGAAUUUAUUGAAUCUUUUCCUUAUGUGAUCAAGUACAUUAAGGUUAAAGAAAAUGUUGUUGCGAAUGCACUUUCACGCAUAUGCAUGCUUGUCACUAAACUUGAGUUGAAUGUUAUUGGUUUUGAGCAUAUAAAAGACUUGUAUGAGCAUGACCCUUCUUUUGCUACCCCUUAUGCUAAGUGUUUGACACACACGUCUUGGGAACGAUACUACAUAAAGGAUGAUUAUCUUAUGAGAGCUAACAAAGUUUGCAUUCCCGAGUCUUGUCUUCAUUUGCUACUUUUGCAAGAGGCUCAUGGAGGCGGACUCAUGGGACACUUUGGACGUGACAAGACUUUCGCCACGCUCUCCAAGAACUACGUUUGGCCCAAGAUGUACCGUGAUGUAUCACGCUUCACCAACCGUUGCUCUACAUGUCACAAAGCUAAGUCUAAAGCUCAAUCCCAUGGUCUUUACAUGCCACUUCCUAUUCCUUAUCAACCUCGGGAAGACAUUAGCAUGGAUUCUAUACUUGGUUUGCCUAGAACUCAAAAUGGCAAGGAUUCCGUCUUUGUUGUUGUGGACAGAUUUUCUAAGAUGGCACAUUUCAUUCCUUGCAACAAGAUAGACGAUGCUUCACACGUUGCAAAUCUCUUUUGUAGGGAAAUCUUGCAUCUCCCUGGAGUCCCAAAGACAAUCGUCUCCGACCGCGACGUCAAGUUCUUGAGUUACUUUUGGAAGACCCUAUGCGCCAAGCUCGGAAUCAAGCUAUUGUUCUAUUCGACAUACCAUCCUCAAACCGACGGCCAAACGGAGAUGACAAACCGUACACUCUCCACUCUACUUCGCGUGUUGAUCAAGAAGAACAUCAAGGAGUGGGAGGCAUGUCUACCCAUCGUCGAGUACGCCUACAACCGUGCAAGACAUUCGACGACCGGCAAGUCCCCCUUCGAGGUCGUCUACGGCUUCAACCCGUUGUCCCCAUUGGACAUUCUAUCUCUUCCUCUACAAGAGCGCACCAACCUUGACGCAAGUACGCGUGCAAGCUACAUCAAGAAGAUGCAUGAAGAUACAAGGCACACCAUCGAGCGCCAAGUACAACGACUAGCGACCAAGCUCAACGUCAACAAGCAUCCCAUGAUAUUCAACAUUGGAGACCUCGUGUGGCUACACCUUCGCAAGGACCGCUUCCCCAACGAACGCAAGUCCAAGCUUCUCCCUCGAGCCGACGGACCCUUCAAGGUGCUAGAACGCUACGACAACAAUGCUUACAAGAUCGAUCUCCCACGCGACAAGUACAACAUGAGCGACAUCUUCAACGUCUCCGAUCUCUCCCCGUACCAUGGUGAUGAGGAUUUCGGUCCGAGGUCGGAUCUUUCACAAGGGGGGGGGGGGAGAUGAUGCGGAGCAUCCUUCGGUCAUCCCCAUGGACCUUUCGUCGCCUCACCAAGCACCAAGAGGACCCAUGACUAGAGCACGAGCUCGAGCUCUCGAGAUCGAGGUGACUUCUCUCCUUAGUGAUAUAUCAUAUGACCCUCUCGAGACAUGGCUACUACCUCAAUCCGGAAUGUUGUGCAUGAUUAGGUACCAAGAGGACCCUCCCGAGGGUGCACAUGAAGAUGAACAAGACCCCAAGUCCACGGACGAAGAGAACCCAUGGAAGAAGGCAAAAGAGGCUUCCAGGCACCGGACAUCCGGCCCAAGUCCCGGACAUCCGGUCCCUGGAGAUACACACAGCCAGCUCCUACAGAAGAAGGCUCCAGCAACCGGACAUCCGGCGUCCAGUCCAGACAUCCGGCGCCCCACCGGAAAUCCGGCCUCCCGCCCGGAUAUCCGGCCCCAGCAUCCCGAAUACACUGAAGAGGACCCCAAUAGCCCGGACAUCCGCCAGAACCACCGGACAUCCGGUCCCUCCGGAAGCACCGGACAUCUGGCACCACCAGCCCGGACAUCCGGUCCCUCGUGAAGCCCCGGACAUCCGGCCCGACGCCCGGACAUCCGGCGCCUCCUGCCUGCGCUUAGCUACUCUGGGCCAUGACCCAUGUAUCCCUUCGCCCCCUGACUAUAUAUACUCCCUCCUCCCGUACGUUUUAGGGUUAGCGUUGAUUUAGCUCAGAUUAGAGAUAGAGCUUCGCUCAUCCAUCAGAUCUCCUCUUCGUGAGAGACCGCGGCCUCCUCGGAGAAGAUCCAAUUGGAUUCAAGACCCCCUCGUGGGAAGAUCCCCCUUGUGGAUUCAAGACCUCCUCACGGAGAAGAUCGGUUACCUUUGUAUCCUUACCUUUGUUGAUUGUGGAUCAUAUGUAUCUCUUUGUGUUCAGUGAUCUAGCCCUCGUGUGAUUGAUUCUAUGUCGGUUUUGUAUUUCUCUCUCGUUUUCCCCGUGUUUUCCCCUUUGUGCUUCCGCAUGUUCUUCGUGAUUCCCCGUAGGAUCCACUCCAAACGUGAAAGAUCGUCCACAUAGGGUUCCGCCCUACAUCAAAACACCAACAAAGACCCACUACGAGGCGUCGCACGAACACCACAACACCAGGCCGGUGCGCAGUGAAAGGCAGUCGCCACUAGGGAAUCAACCACUGUUGCAUCAACAAUCACCAUGCACGAGCAGCCACCGAAGCACGAGGGAGGUGGGCGCCGCCGACAAGGGCAUCCUACACGAGGCAGACCCGCGACCGGCCACAGCGCCCACGUCCACCUUCCAACUAGUUGUAGCACCAGCAAUGAGCUGGGUUACGCCCACGGGGAGGCAGGGCUGCAGAGGAUAGCUUCCAUGCCACGGCCAAGCUGCAACACCGGCAGGGCCGACCAGGGAAGGCGCAGACGGAUGUAGACGCACACAAGAUCGGGUCUUAGGGGGGAGGGGACGUCGCGCUCAAUAUGGGAGGCCCCACCGCCACCAUGGCCAAGGCUAGGUCGCACGUUGGCUGGACCAACACGGGGAGGGGCGCCGAAGGGGAGCACCGCAAUCGGCUGGGGUGAGCGCCUAGAUCCCAUCCAAAGCAAACCAGAAACCACACGGUGGAGCCCCAGCCAGGGGAGGCCACUCACGUUGCCUAUGUAGUGGGAAAGAGGUUGCCGGGAGAGGCCAUCCUCAUCGGAGGAGGAGGCCAUCGGCCUCGUACGGGACCGGAUCUGGAGGGGAGGGCAGCUGGGUGAUGGGGAGAAGAAACGACCCAGCCACCAGCAUCCCAGAUCCUGGCACGACUUUGCCGGCCAGCCCUCCGACGGCGCCGACACGGCGGUGAUUGCUUGUAUCUGUGUUGGUAAUUCCCCGAAGAGGAGAGGAUGAUGCAACACAACAAAGGUAAGUAUUUUCCUUAGUUAUGAAUCUAGGUUAUCAAUUCAGUAGGAGAACCAAGCAACACUAUGUAACAGCACCAACACACAAACCACAAAAACUUGCAACCCAAUGGGUAAGAGUGGUUGUCAAUCCCUUCUCGUUAUUGAGAUAGAUUAAAUUGUACGAGAUUUGAUAAAUAGAUCUAACUAAAACACACACAAAAUAAAGAAAUAAAAAGUGCAACGAGGUAUUUUUGGUUUUAAUAUGAUAGGAAAUAGACCCGGGGGCGUAGAUUUCACUAGAGCUUCUCUCAAGGAAAUAUCAUAUGGUGGGUAAACAAAUUAUUGUUGGACAACUCACAGAAAAGCAAAUAAUUAUGACGAUAUCCAAGGCAAUGAUCAUGUAUAUAGGCAUCACGUCCAAGAUUAGUAGACCGACUUCUUCCUGCAUCUACUACUAUUACUCCACACAUCAACCGCUAUCCAGCAUGCAUCUAGUGUUUAAGUUCAUGGAAAAAUGAAGUAAUGCAAUAAGAACGAUGACAUGAUGUAGACAAGAUCUUGUUAUCCUUAAUAGCAAUGAUACAUGCAUGUCAUGUCUCUUUUUGUCACUGAUAUUGAGCACCACAAGAUCGAACCCAUCACAAAGCAUCUCUUCCCAUUGCAAGAAAAAUCAAUCUAGUUGGCCAAACCAAACCAAAGUUUCAGAGAAGAAAUACGAGGCUAUAAAGAUCAUGCAUAAAAGAGUUCAACAAGGACUCAAAUAAUAUUCAUGGAUAGAUCUGAUCAUAAACUCACAAUUCAUCAUAUCCCAACAAACACACCGCAAAAAGUCAUUACAUCAUAUAGAUCUCCAUGAACAUCAAGGAGAGCAUUGUAUUGAAGAUCAAAAAGAGAGAAGAAGCCAUCCAGCUAGCUACUACCUACGAACCCGUAGGUCUAUGGUAAACUACUCACGCAUCAUCGAAGGGGCGACAAGGAUGAUGAAGAACCCCUCCAUGAUCGUCGACCCCUCCGGUAGUGCCGGAAAAGGCCUCUAGAUUGGAUCUCGUGGUUCUGGAACUUGCGGCGGCCAGAAAAGUGUUUCGUCGACUCGCCUAAGGUUUUUGGGAUUUUAGAGUAUUUAUAGAGCUGAAGGUCGGUGGAGAAGCUUUCCGUGGCCCCACUACCCACCAGGGUGCGCCUAGGGCCUCUAGCGCGCCCUAGGGUCUAGUGGGCCCCACGGGCCUCCGUUGGUGCCUUCCUUGGCCUCCUGGGUGUCUUCUGGGCAGAAAAAAUUCUCCAAAAAGUUUCAUGGCAUUUGGACUCCGUUUGGUAUUGAUUUUCUGCGAAGUAAAAAACAAGCAAAAAAUAGUAACUGACACUAUGUCAAUAUGUUAGUCCUAAAAAAUGAUAUAAAGUUGCUAGUAAAUGGGUAUAAACAUCCAAGAUUGAUACUUUAAUAGCAUAGAACAAUAAAAAAUUAUAGAUACGUUGGAGACGUGUCAGGGGGUGGGCGGGAGGUGGGGGCGGGCCACCGCCGGCUUGGUUCCUACCAAGUUGCCCGGCUCGAGCGACGUGAUGGUCGGGCGACCAACUUCAUCUCUACUCCUAAUAUAAUCUUAUACUCCUAUAAAAGUUGCCUCAUCUCUACUCCUAUAAAAAAUGAGUUGGUGAUGAUGGUGUGCUUGCCAUUCUUUGUUUAUAAUCGUGGAACUGAAUCGAAUGCAUAGGAAGCAAUCUAUGGCAACUUUGCAAAAACUGCCCGACACUUUGUUAACAUUUGCAGACAACCCUUCUAAACCUCAUCUGGCCCCGACUCAUCAAGCCAUCUGAAAAAAAGGGCGUCAUACAACCACUGGCCGGCAGCAUUGGAAUCGACCUGGCGCGAUAACCAUUGAUGGUGCCAACCACCGAUGGCUCUAUAUUUUUGCGUAUUUCUAGACCACAUUUGUUGCAUGUUCUUUUCAUAUAUCACACUGGUACAAUGAGCAGCGACAGAAAUAAUGUAAAUAAAGUAUUCCAGCAACAAAAAAUAUUUAUGUAAUAUCUUUAUAUAUCAAAGUAAAUAUAUAUGUAAAAAUAUUACUUUUAAAAAAUAUUGUAAAACUAAUAAAGUACUCUCUCCGUUUUUAUUUACUCUGCAUAUUAGAGUUGACUGAAGUCAAACUUCGUAAAGUUUGACCAAGUUUAUAGAAAACAAUAUAGACAUUUAUCAUAAUAAAUCUAUACAAUGUAUAAGUACAUUCAAUAAUAAAUAUAAUGUUGUUGAUUUGUUAUUGUAUAUCUUAAUAUUUUUGUUUAUAAAUUUGGUCAAAGUUUGUAAAGUUUGACUUUGACCAAAGCUAAUAUGCGAACUAAAUAAAAAUGGAGGGAGUAAAUAUAUAUUAGUUUAUUUAAAUAAAUUUAUUUUAGNNNNNNNNNNNNNNNNNNNNNNNNNNNNNNNNNNNNNNNNNNNNNNNNNNNNNNNNNNNNNNNNNNNNNNNNNNNNNNNNNNNNNNNNNNNNNNNNNNNNNNNNNNNNNNNNNNNNNNNNNNNNNNNNNNNNNNNNNNNNNNNNNNNNNNNNNNNNNNNNNNNNNNNNNNNNNNNNNNNNNNNNNNNNNNNNNNNNNNNNNNNNNNNNNNNNNNNNNNNNNNNNNNNNNNNNNNNNNNNNNNNNNNNNNNNNNNNNNNNNNNNNNNNNNNNNNNNNNNNNNNNNNNNNNNNNNNNNNNNNNNNNNNNNNNNNCUUUUAAACUAAUAUUAUUUAAUGUAUAUAUUUUGUGUAUAAUAUAUAAUGUAUAAUGUAAAAAAUAUUGCUUGAUGUAUAUAUACAUAUAUAUAUAUUAUUUUUAUACUUUUGCAUAUAAUGUAAAUAAAGUAAUACUGGUACAAACGAACAACUCGAUGUACAAAAUAUUUUGUACACAAUACUUUAUUUAACAGUACAGAAUCACCUUGGGAAGGCCUCCCCUACCAGGUAGGAGAGCCUGGCCGGGUCGAGGCCGCCCUAAGGACAAGUCCAAGAUUUCCCCGACAGGCUUGCCGGGUUCGCCAAGGGGAAAUCUCCCCAGCAAGGCGCCACCGCUCCACCGCACCGCAACGCAAAUCAGUUAUCGGUGCGGUGUCGAGCCCCCGAGUGAUUAAGUGGCUUCCACUAAGCACGUGGUAGCCAUUCGAAAGACUGAUUGCCCUCAUAUGACACCCGUCCAGAGGUGUGUCAAGCAGAUAAGCAGAAGAUGAUUAAGCGGCAUGGCAGGCUUGCCGGGCUGCAUCCUCAGCAUGACACCUAGCAGUGCAUUUAAUGCACUUUGUCCUAACUGCCAGAGUUAGGUAUGAUAUCACUGUUAGUUAUCUAAUCAUUGGAUAAAGAUUGUUUUGCCAUUGUGGUCACCCCUUAAGCUAUAAAAGGAGGUCCAAGGCAACCUAGCAAGGGAUCCGGACCCUUAAACACUUGUACAUGCGUAGCUGCUCUCCCAGAGACCACCUUGUCGGGCUUGAGCGUUGCAAGCCCAUCGUGUUCCCUCAUCCAAUCCACCAAAGCAGGAGUAGGGUUUUACGCUUCCCGGCAGCCUGAACCUGGGUAAAAACCACAAGUGUCACUGUCGUCGUGUUGUUUCAUGGCCUCGGCUCUUUGUGUAAUGUGAUCUUCCCCCUUGCCGAACUACAAGGGGCCGAUGGCCCCAUAGGUGAUUGUGUUCCACCACGACAUCUUUGGUGCGCCAGGUAGGGGGGAUCUCUUGUGCGAACCUGAAGCUGUGGAACAGUGUGUCGAUCAUCGUCAUCAUCAUCUUCAUCCAUGGCACCCAAGAAGAAGCCCGACGCAACAACUCAUCCUUCCACUUCGAAGGCCCCCUCGUACGCAGCCGUUGACAUCAUAGGCAUUGUGGCGACAUUAGGUGAGGCGGGUGCCAUAGGUGUCACGGCUAGCACUGGUGGCACUACCGUUGUGUCCCCUGUGGUCGAAGCUGGAGCAGAAGAAGCUGGGGGAGGGCGACAUCAAUAACAUCCCGACGGCCAUAACCUGUAGGCCGCGGGUGGGAAAAACAUUUAGUCUCAACCUCCCUGCCGCGCUAGCCGGCGUAGCCGCAGCGACACCGCCCGUUCUGGCGCAAGCCAUGAUCCUCCAGCAGCACGUAUUACAGGUGCGGCUGCUAGGCACACGCCUUGCCCAGAACAAGGCGAGCAAGACAGAGCAUCGCACGGUAUCGCCAAUCCCCGAGCACGCCCCAUUCAUCGCCCAACUCCACUGGCAACCAGCUCGCGAUGGCAAGAACGUGGCGACGCUCCUGCUGGUGCUACCAGGAGUCAUGCAACGUCACGAUCUGCCUCAUCAUCUAUGCCAAGCACAACUUUGGAAGCCCGCCCAACUCCUUGUGAUUUCCACCAACAGCUGAUCAAAUGGAUGAGUGGAGAGUCACCAUCCAGAGUUUGAUCGGCUUUGCUGAAGCAGAAAGAUCUCAGGAGGCAGAGCCAUCGAAGUACAUGCGGACAACAACAACACCUCGGACAGCUGGCCAUGUUGAGGGGGUCACGCUGAUGGUGCAGUCCCCUCCGCGGCAGCAAACUGAAAUGCAACAACAAGAGACACACAACUACGAGCCCGACGAAGCGUCAAUGGCCUCGUCUGAUCCUCGAGCCUGUCGAGAUCAGCAACAAGUCCUGGAGGAUCAACGGAGGGAAGAUGCGCGCAUCACUAUAGAACAGUGCUGGAAGACCCGCCGUCAAUAUGACAAGCGCAAUGGCCCAGCCUUCGACGAACCCGUGCCCAGUGAUGGCGGGUACUUACCCUUCAAGGUCGGGUGCCCUACCUUCACUCACGAGCUACGUCGUCCGCUGGCCAUCUUCCCGCAUCUUCAAGCCCGAGCUACCAGAAAAGUAUGAUGGAAAGCUGAACUCGGCAGAGUUCUUGAGCAUUUACACAGUUGCUGUUCAAGCCACCAGAGAGAGGGAUGAGAAGGUAUUUGCGAACUACUUCCCUUUGGCACUCAAGCCAAACGUGAGGUCAUGGAUGGUUUACCUACCAGAAAAUUCCAUUUCAUCAUGGGAUGACUUGUGCAAUAAAUUUGUUGGCGCCUUCAUGUGCGGCCAUCAGGAACCAGGACGGCCUAGUGAUUUGCAAGUCCUUCCACAGAAGGAAAGUGAAAGUUUGCGGAAAUAUAUGCAGAGGUUCAGCCGAGUGCACAAGAACAUUCCAGAGAUACUCCCGACAGCUAUGAUUGUCGCGUUCCAUUCGAACAUGCGCAACAGAAGGAUACGUUCCAAAAUGAACGUCUGGUUGCCCAUGACUGUAAAUGAGUUACACACCUUGGCGGAUAAAUGUGCUCAUGUUGAGGAAGGAAGGCGACUUCUUGGGGAGGAGGAUGGCGCCGAAGUUGAUUCAGAGGAUGACGAUGAGGUCGUUAACCCAAAGAGGAGAAGUUGAAAGCGCAACAAGACACGCAAGGAGAAGUCAGUACUAGCCGUUGAGGGCUCUGGUGAUCUGGGCACCAGCAAGAAGGCCAGAACCGAAUCCCCUGGCAUGGAAGCUCCCGCGUGCGCUGAUUGCCGGGAGGCUGUGGUCCACCGCACUAAGGCCAUGAUCUCCAAGAGUGUCAUCAAGUUGAGUAUCUUGUCAAGAAAUAGAAGGCCGAGUAUGAGAAUCGCGAUAAAGAUAGAGACCAAGAGGGUGCUAGAGGAAAAGGCUGUGGUAGCAGAGGGGGCUACCACGACAAGGCCCUGCAGCAAAAGGAGAAACCUGCUAGAGGCCGUGAGAAGAAAGAAGAAGAUUGUGAAAGUGAUGAAUAGAAAACUAGCGAGCAAGAAUUCCAGAAAGCAACUGAAGCCAUGUGCAUUGACGGAGGUGCAUCCUUGCACUCCUCUCACCACCUGAUCAAGUAGUGGGCACGUGAGGUCAAUGUCGUGGAGCCAGCUAUAGACUCCCGGAAGCCGCUCAAAUGGUCCCGCACGCCUAUCAUAUUUGAUGAAGAGGAUCACCCUGACUGCACUACCGUUGUAGGAUGUUUGCCGUUGUUGGCCUCUCCAACUAUUCGCAACCUCAAAGUCACAAAGAUGCUAGUUGACGGCGGGGCUGGGUUGAAUCCGAUCUCCCCUAAAGUGGUCAGCAAGCUACAGAUCCCUGAUGAAGAGCUCAAGGUUACUAGCACGUUCCAAGGAAUCAAUCCCGGAAGGAGCCGUGCUAAGUGGAAGAUUACACCGCCGGUAACAUUUGGUGGAGAACUGGACUACCAGACCGAGAGGGUUGUGUUUGACAUUGUUGAACUUACCUUACCAUACAAUGGGAUUCUCGGUCGUCCAGCUCUGGCAAAAUUCAUGGUGGCAUCUCACUAUGCCUACAAUACUUUGAACAUGUCAGGUCCGAUGGGCGUCAUUUCCAUCCCAUCAAACAAGAAAGAUGUGAUCAUAUGCGUGGGCAAGAUGUAUCGAGACGCGGUAGCGGCUGAGGCUGCAGAAGCCGCAAAACCCGCCAAGGAAACAAAGAAGGGAAAGAGGGCUAGCAGAGAUGCCGACAAAGAAUCUAGGAAGCGCGCCUCUCCGGGAUGCGUUGUUCCUGUUGAUGAUCUACCGGAGAGUUCCACUAGUAAGAGGUCCAAGGUUGCCACCUGCUGUGAAGAAGGUCCAGGCAAGGCAGGAUGACACUGGCGGUACGUUCACCAUCAGUGCCACCCUUGACGACAAAUAGGAAAUCGUGCUCGUUGCCUUCCUGCGGGCGAAUGUCGAUGUGUUUGCUUGGCAACCAUCUGACAUCCUCGGUGUUCCCAGGGAGGUAAUCAAGCACCACCUUGCGUUCUGUCCUCAUGCCCGACCCAACAAGCAGAAGGUCAGGAAGAAAGCUUUGGAACGGUAACAGUUUAUUUCCGAGGAGAUCAAGAAGCUUGAAGCAGCUGAUUUGGUCAGAGGAGUGUUGCAUCCAACAUGGUUAACAAACCCGGUGGUAGAGCACAAGGCAAAUGGGAAAUGGAGACUCUACAUAGACUUCACAGAUUUGAACAAGCCAUGCCCAAAGGACCCUUCCCCCUUGUCGCGCAUUGAUCAGAUUGUGGAUUCCACUUCCUGGUGUGAUCUGCUUUCCUUUUUGGAUGCAUACUCUAGGUGCCAUGAGAUAUUCAUGUCCAAGGAAGACGAAGAGAAGACCGCGUUCAUAAAUCCAUAUGACACGUAUUGCUUUGUAUGGAUACCUUUCGGGUUAAAGAGCACUGGAUCCACUUUUGCAAGAGCAGUACAAAUUGGUUUCGAGCCUCAGCUACAUAGAAAUGUAGAAGCUUACAUGGAUGAUAUAGUAGUCAAUAUCCAAGGACCGAUCAACACUCAUUCAAGAUUUGGAAGAGACCUUUGCGAACUUAUGCAAGAUCAACCUGAAGUUAUACCGUGAGAAGUAUCUGUUCGGUGUACCCUUCGGAAAGCUACUUGGUUUCUUUGUGUCUCACCGAGGGAUAGAAUCCAACCCCAACAUGAUCAAGGCAAUUGGGCAGAUUCAAGCACCCAAGACGGUCAAGGAUGUGAGGCAUUUAACUGGAUGCGUUUCCAUGCUAAGCAGGUUCAUUUCCAAGUCUACCGAACGUGCCUUGCCUUUCUUCAAAAAUUUGAAGAAGACAUGUCCGAUGAAGUGGAUCUUGGAGGCAGAAGCAACGCUGCAAGACCUAAAGGCCUACCUUUCAUCUGCUCCCACCUUAGUCGCUCCUAAACCACAAGAGCCGUUGCUACUAUACUUAGCGGCAACGAACCAAGUGGUUAGUGUAGCGCCGGUGGCGCAGCAGGAGGUGGAUGAGGACGCAGCUGCCACAACUGUCCUCUUCAGAGACGAAACCGAACCAGUCAUGGCAGGGUUGGACACAAAUGAAAAGGGAGCAGAGAAAGUUAGCAAAGGCGAUCCCAAGACCGCGGCAAAGAAGAAAGUGGCGCAACGACUAGUAUACUUUGUCAGCUCCCUAUUACAGGGGGCUAGGUCAAGGUACUCUGGAGUGCAAAAUCUAAUCUUCAGGCUCAUCAUGGCCUCGAGGAAAUUGCGCCACUACUUCCAAGCCUAUGAGAUCACGGUUGUUACCCGUUUCCCACUCCAGCGCAUACUGAAGAACCCCAAAGCCACUGGCAGGAUAGUUGAAUGGGCACUAGAGUUGUCAAGCUUUAGCCUGAAGUAUGAAAGUACCUCAACCAUUUAGAGCAGAGCAUUGGCUAAGUUCAUUGCAGAAUGGAUGCCCACUUCAGAUGAAGAAAUACCAGAGAUAGUUAUUCCCGACAAGGAGGCACCUCAGGAAUGGAUCAUGUAUUUUGAUGGUGAUUUCUCGUUGCAAGCCGCUGGAGCUGGCGUGCUUCUUGUUGCACCUACUGGAGAGCACCUCAAGUAUGUGGUCCAAAUGCACUUUCCCCAGGAGAAGGCCAAUAACACUACUGAAAAUGAGGGGCUCCUUGCCGGGCUCAGAGUCGCAGUAGAGUUGGGAAUCAAGAAGUUGAUCAUCCGUGGAGACUCGCAGCUCGUGGUGAGACAAGUCAAUAAGGAUUACCAGAGCCCAUUGAUGGAGGCAUAUGUAGAGGAAGUGAGAAAGCUGGACGAGCAUUUUGAUGGAUUUCAAACAGGACACAUGCUGCGUGUAGAAAACAACAUUGUUGGUCAUCUUCAAAAUGCGCCGCGCAAAAACUCCGUGUGGAACCAUGAACUUUUGUCCCUUCACCUUACUCAAACUUCAGUGUCCCCAUCGAUGAUGGCCAGAAAAAGGAGGAAGUUGGACUCCGGCAAGUAUCUCCCGACAGGGCUUCCCAAAGCCGUUGGUAGAGAGGCUGCCGGGAACCACUACACUUAGGUUGGUGAGCAACACUCUCCCGCGAAACCACAGGUUCUUGUGGUCGAGGUGAGCGCUCCCAUGAAUGAGUAGGUGCCAUUAGUCCUUGUUAUUGUGCCUCAGGCUCCAACUUGGGCACAACACAUAGUCCACUACCUUCAAACAGGAGAACUUCCCAAAGAGCAAGAGGAAGCUGAAAGAGUAUCCCGACGGUCCAAUAUGUAUCAGUUUGUUGAUGACACUCUGUACAGAAGAAGGCCAAACGAUGUGAAGUUGAAGUGCAUUUGCCGGGAAGAGGGACAGGAGCUUCUAGCAGAGAUACACAUAGGCGUGUGCGGCUCCCAUAUUGGAUCAAGAGCCUUGGUUGGAAAAGCUUUCCGACAAGGUUUCUACUGGCCCACGGCCCUCCAAGAUGCGACUGAGCUAGUCACCAGAUGUGAAGCCUGCUAGUUCCACUCCAAGAACAUCCAUCAAAUAGCUCAAUCUCUAGACGAUCCCUUUAUCCUAGCCAUUUUUGGUCUGGGGGCCCAACAUCUUGGGCCCCUUCCCCCGUGCUACCAGGGGCUUUGAAUUCUUGUACGUUGCAAUCGACAAGUUUACAAAGUGGCCACAGGUGGGGCCAGUGAGGAAGGUAGCUGCAUUGUUAGCUAUCAAGUUCUUGAAGGGAUUGGUGUGCCGUUUUGGAGUACCCGCCAGAGUGAUCACUGAUAACGGCACCCCAUUUAGAAGUCGCGCCUUCAUGCAAUAUGUCCAAACCCUCGGAAGAAAGGUCUCCUUUGCCUCUGUUGCUCAUCCCCGGAGCAAUGGACGGGCUAAGAGGAUGAACCCUGAAGCGCUGCGUGGAGUCAAGACAAGAACUUUUGAUCAGUUGCAGAAGUGCAGGAGAUGCUGGAUUGAUGAGCUGUCGAUGGUUCUUUGGUCCCUCUGUACGACACCGAAUCGAGCCACCGGCCAGACUCCCUCCUCCCUAGUAUAUGGGGCAGAAGUGGUGCUCCCCACAGAACUCAUGUAUGGGUCACCUCGAGUACUUGCCUAUGAUGAAGUAGGGAAAGAGUAGCUCCUGCAUGAUGAUGUCGUACUCCUCGAGGAAGAUCGUCUCCGGGCCGUUGGGCGUGCUGCACGCUACCAGCAAGCCUUGCGCCCCUAUCAUAGCCGCACGAUUCAUGCCCGGAUCCUUUAAGAAGGCAACCUUUUCCUUAGGCAUUUUCAAUCCGCCAAUGGUUCCAACAAGUUGAUGCCGAAGUGGGAAGGCCCUUACCGGGUAGUACGAGUCACCAGACCUGUCACAGUCUAUCUAGAGACCGAAGAUGGCAUUAAGGUGCAAAACUAAUGGAAUAUUGAGCAUCUUCACAAGUUCUACCUGUGAGGCACGGUUGCCGGGAUCAGCCCCGGCAGCCACCUUUUGUACAAGCCUUGCCAAUGUGCAUGUAACCCUUUGUACAAAGCCAGGCACAAACCCUAUGCAAAGAUAAUAAAACGAAGCGCUGGCGCCUAAAAACUUAAAUGCAUGAUUAUUUUAGCAUGGUUCUCCCAUGUUCAUUUAGAAAGGGUCGUAUGUUGUUGUUUUCCCCCUGUGCUAACUAUAGGACCCCUCCGUGGAUAAAACCCCAAGGAGGAUAAGUGAGAACAAGCUUGCAUUUUGAUCCUUGACAACGCAAAACGGAUAAGUUCCCUUUGAGAUAUCCAUGGUGUGCCUCUGUGAGGGAAAAACUUGUGCGUAGAGAAACCUUGUCGCCUCCGAAACAUUUGCGCUCCCAUCCUUUGAUUCGAAGGUUACAUCAUUCAGGACAGUCGCAGUGGCAUUUGAUUAAAAAGGGUUUGACAAGGGGCCGGUCCCUUUUCACACUCCUGAGCCCGCCAGGCCAAGCCUCGCGGUAGCAAUGGAAGGAACUGACAAGAUAGCUUACCGGAGAACCUUGUUUAUUUGAAAGUAUAGAGGAGUCGCUCCUCUGCAUGGAUAUGAUACAAGCACAAGUGCUCGACAAACAUAUCUUUUUUCAUUAAUACUCGGAUAAACAAGUGCAAACCGUACAGAGUCCAAAUAUGGAUGAAAAAGAUUACAUAUUUAAUACUAAAGUUUGGCAAGUGCCUACUUGUUUUAGAUUAAAAAAAGAUAAGUGCCCCAUAAUCCCUUUCUUGUCCCUCUCCUCCUAGGGGCUACAAUGGGAGGUGAAGAGGGCAAAAGGAGUGCCUAGGCAGAAGCCCAGCCUGACCCCAUCAGGGCCCGUGGGAUGCGGCCUGGCAAGAUCGGGAGGGCAUGGAUGAAGGCGAUGGAUGGAGAGAGCGGCUAGGCAAUUCCCUGGUCAUCACCGCCAAGACCAGCGGAACGUAGUAGGAGGGACACCGGCAAGGAAGACGAAGCCGAAUUUCACGUGGAAGCCUGCCGGAGUCUAGCUGGAGGAGACGGAGACAUCCACACCCAACACCCCCGCAAAUCUCUCUGCCGGGGGAAGAAGACCCAGGUGCAGAUGAUGGUGCUGUCGACGCCUUGCUGAUGGUGACAGUGCGACUGGCACUCAGAUGGAGUCGGAGACGUCGUCCUCUCGCUCAGCAUCGUCAUCAUCAUCAUCGCUGUCCUCCUCGUCGUUGUUGCUCGAGGAACUCUCGUCGUUGGUCAAGCUUUCCGCGCAGCAACCUAAGCGAGCUCCCGAACACCCAAGGACCUUGACAGAGAGCAGGGUGGCCUCCAUUAACUUGAAAUGGAGAAUGUGCCCUACCGCCAAGCUGUGGGCACGAGCAAAAGUUUUCCAGCCACGCCAAAGAAGCAUGACAUGAGGCGCGGGGAACUCCACAUCCGCCCGCAUGCUGCCGUUGCAGCAACCCCUCAUGUGCAGCCUCAACCCUAGCGGUUGUUCUACUUCCAUCACUCUUGCAAAGGGAGUGGGAACCCGAAGGCGGCUGUGCGGGGGGCCGCACAACUUAACGAUGAACUCCAGCGGCUAGUCCCUGAUGUAGCCUUCAUUCGGGGCCAGGGUGGCUAGAGGAGGAGCAAUCAGAGCGCCACUAUGUCAUCCUUGGCCCCGAGCGCCACAACGGCCGCGCCCUUGUCCUGCAGCGCCACCUCAUGCACUAGACUCUACCCCUGCAUCCCCAGCAGGGGGAGGGAGGCGUUGUCGAGUAGAAUCCCUCGUCGCCACUGCUGGAGUACUACCACAUCCUCUUCCCCUCACCAUAGUGUAAGAAGGAUGCAAGAAGAUGAAGGAGGAUAUGUGUGUGAGUAAGCACCUCACCCUGUUUGAGCUGGCGGUGAGAGGAGUGCAAGGAUGCUCGUCCAUCAAUGCACAUGGCUUCAGUUGCAUUCUGGAAUUCUUGCUCACUAGUCUCUUCUUAUUCACCUUGAUCACUAUCAUCAUCACCUUCUUUCUUCUUGCAGCCUCUAGCAGGUUUCUCUUUUUGCUGAGGGGUCUUGCCGCGGUAGCCUCCUCUACCGCCACGGCCCUUCUCGCCAGCACCUUCUUGGUCUCUCUCCUUGUCGCGCUUCUCAUACUCAACUUUCUGCUUCUUGACAAGUUGCUCAACUUGAUGACACUCUUGGAGAUCAUGGCCCUUAGUGCAGUGGAUUUUGUAGUACGACCAUCCAACUUCCCAAGUUUCUCAGCCACCGCAGCCUCUAGGCAGUCAGCGCAUGCGGCAGCUUCCUUGCCGGGUGAGGGAGUCCUGGAUUAAGGGGUCCUCGGACAGCCGGACUAUGUACUUGUGCCGGACUGUUGGACUAUGAAGAUACAAGAUUGAAGAUUUUGUCCCGUGUCCGGGUGGGACUCUCCUUUCCGUGGAAGGCAAGCUUGGCAAUUCGGAUGUGUAGAUCUCCUUCUCUAUAACCGACUCUGUGUAACCCUAGCCCCCUCUGGUGUCUAUAUAAACCGGAGGGUUUAGUCCGUAGGACAACGACAAUCAGAAUCAUAGGCUAGCUUCUAGGGUUUAGCCUCUAUGAUCUCGUGGUAGAUCAACUCUUGUAAUACUCAUAUCAUCAAGAUCAAUCAAGCAGGAAGUAGGGUGUUACCUCCAUCAAGAGGGACCGAACCUGGGUAAACAUUGUGUCCCCCGCCUCCUGUUACCAUUAGCCUUAGACGCACAGUUCGGGACCCCCUACCCGAGAUCCGCCGAUUUUGACACCGACAUUGGUGCUUUCAUUGAGAGUUCCACUGUGCCAUCACGGUAAGGCUUGAUGGUUCCUUCAAUCAUCUGUAACGAUGCGAUCCAGGGUGAGGUUUUCCUCCCCGGACAGAUCUUCAUAUUCGGCGGCUUCGUACUGCAGGCCAACUCGCUUGGCCAUCUGGAGCAGAUCGAUAGCUACGCCCCUGGCCAUCAGGUCAGGUUUGGAAGCUUGAACUACACUGCCGACAUCCGCAGAGACUUGAUCUUCGACGGAUUCGAGCCCAUGAUAGGCGUGUCGUACAAUCACGAUGAGCAUGACUUAGUUCUAUCAUUGGACAACGUUCGGGAGAACGCACCUGCAGCUGCCCUGGCCUUAGAUCUGGAGCAGAUCGUGCCAUCCAAGGACGGGUAGAUAGACCCCGCCACGGACGCCGCACACUCAUCGGCGCUAGAGCCGAACACAGACUUCACCUCCAAAGAGGUACAUGUCAUCGGACCCUCGGACUCGUCUCCGGCCAUAGGUUCCGAACCACGCGCAUCCAUGCCUAUCGAAUCUAAUUGGACACCGAUCAUGGAGUUUACCUCCGCAGAUAUCUUUUAGCACUCACCCUUGGGCGACGUGCUAAAUUCACUGAAAUCUUUCUCCCUGUCAGGAGACUCUUGGGCCGAAUACAACAGACCAGACUCAUUUGAACUGCAUCAUGAUGUAGCCCGGCAUAGAGGCGCCGCACAUCCCCUAUGCUUCACUGAUGAAGUAAUGGAUCAUGAAUUCCGAGAAGGGUUUAAACCCAUGAACAUUGAAUCAUACGAUGGUACAACAGACCCCGCAGUAUGGAUUGAAGAUUUCCUUCUCCACAUUCACAUGGCCCGUGGCGAUGAUCUACAUGUCAUCAAGUACCUCCCACUAAAACUCAAAGGACCGGCUCGACAUUGGCUAAAUAGCCUGCCGACAAACUCCAUUGGCAGUUGGGAGAACAUGUAAGACGCAUUCCUUGACAAAUUCCAGGGCACUUAUGUGUGACCACCGGAUGCCGAUGACUUAAGUCACAUAACCCAAUAGCCCGGAGAGUCAGCCAGGAAAUUCUGGACUCGGUUCCUAACUAAAAAGAACCGAAUUGUCGACUGCCCGGAUGCUGAAGCCCUAGUGGCCUUUAAGAAUAACAUCCGUGAUGAGUGGCUCGCCCGACACCUCGGCCAAGAGAAGCCGAAGUCCAUGGCAACUCUCACGACACUCAUGACCCGCUUUUGUGCGGGCGAGGACAACUGGCUGUCUUGUAGCAACAACACAUCAAGAAAUCCUGGCACUUCAGAUGCCAAAGAUAGCAACGGCAAGCCCUGAUGCAACAGACACAAGCGUCGCAACAAUGGCGACAACGCCGAAGACACAACAGUCAAUGCCGGAUUCAGUGGCUCUAAGUCCGGUCAGCGGAAAAAGCCAUUCAAAAGAAACAAUCCGGGCCCGUCCAGUCUGGACUGCAUACUCGAUCGCUCAUGUCAAAUUCAUGGCACCCCCGAUAGCCAACCACACCAACAGAGAAUGUUGAGUGUUUAAACAGGCCGGCAAGUUGAAUACCAAAAACAAGGAAAAGGGGCCGCAUAGUGAUGACGACGAGGAGCCACGGCUGCCGAACACAGGAGGACAAAAGAAAUUUCCUCCCCAAGUGAAAAUGGUAAAUAUGAUAUACGCCACCCAUAUUCCCAAGCGGGAGCAGAAGCACGCACUAAGGGACGUCUACGCGAUCGAGCCAGUCGCCCCAAAGUUCAACCCGUGGUCUUCUUGUCCGAUUACUUUCGAUGACAGGGACCACCCCACCAGUAUCCAUCAUAGCGGUUUGGCCGCGUUGGUCCUUGACCCCAUCAUUGAUGGAUUCCACCUCACACAAGUCCUAUGGACGGUGGCAGCAGCUUGAACCUGCUCUAUCAGGAUACAAUGCGCAAAAUGGGCAUCGAUCCCUCAAGGAUCAAACCCACGAAAACCACCUUUAAAGGUGUCAUACCAGGUGUAGAGGCCUGUUGCACGGGCUCAACCACACUGGAAGUAGUCUUCGGAUCUCCGUACAACUUCCGAAGCGAGGAGUUAAUCUUCGACAUCGUCCCCUUCCGCAGUGGCUAUCACACACUGCUCGGACGAACCGCAUUUGCUAGAUUCAAUGCGGUACCGCAUUACGCAUACCUCAAGCUCAAGAUGCUAGGACCUCGCGGGGUUAUAACAGUUAAUGGAAACACAGAGCGCUCGCUCCGUACGGAGGAGCAUACUAUGGCCCUCGUAGCAGAAGUACAGAGCAGCCUUCUUAGGCAGACCUCCAAUGUGGCAAUAAGGCCCCCGGACACCGUCAAGCGAGUCCGAAGUACUCUGCAACAGGAUCGUCUGACACGUCCAGAGCUCGCCUAGCAAUCCGGCCUCCUUCCUAGUCCCAGUCAAGCGGUGAAAUUUGUGCCGCACGUACAUAAUUACGCACUUAAAAUACCAUGGGCAUAGGCGGCGGCACGACUACGGUCCACAAUGCGGCUUAAUCGCCCCAGGAUCUGUAUACCUCUACCCCCUUCUUUCUUUCAGAUACCUAUUCUUGGAGGCUCUCCCGAUAGCCCGACUAUCGGACCCAUCACGGGACGGAAACACCAAGGAGGCAAUGAGCUUUGGCGUACAAAGGAAUCCCCAGGUGGUCUCUGAUAUUGAUCGCUAUACCUGUUUUACAUACCCGUACGCAGCUCGCCUUUGGUCAGGACAUGUCAAAUAGUCCUAUUUUGCUUAUCGCACCGCUUGUAUACAUACGCCUUGACAUAUUAUUCAAAUAACAAUGGAAAAUAAUGUACAACAUUAGCUUAUUAUUACAUUUCUUUAUCUUUUUCCUUGAGUGCUUAUUUAUUAAAAAUUGCACCCGUAGAUUUUGGUACAUUCAGUCCGCUAGGGGCUUCAGUGUACCCCAUAACACACCAAAAAAAGUCUGAACACUUUCGACAGUGCGGCACCCCGAACUUAUAGCAUUAUAUGCAUCAGCUCUGAAUCAUGUCUUGGGUCAAUAGUUGGGUUUGCCCGGCUCCCAUGUUUUGCUGACUUAUGUUCCGCUACAUCGGCUAAGGUGGCACAGGGAGAACUACUAUGAUUGUGUCCUGGUUCUUCCGGACGAGCACCUCAGUAGAGAAUGCCGAAAACUGACUGUCAUGAUGCGGCGAGAGCUGGUCGCUGUUCGAGAGGUCUCAAAUCCUUAAAGAUUUUUUCCGCUUCGGGCGAGGAAUCGGCCUUUUCCUAUUUAGGCGUGUAUAGCACCCCAAGUUCGGCCUUCCGAAUACCAGGGGCUAUGCCACUAUUUAAAAUUAUAGACUUCUAUGACUAAGUGAGAGUGAUAAAGCUGUAUAGUCUGAUUGCCUUGUUCGUUGCGCUAAACACCUCCUUAAAGGACCAAAGAUUUGGAUAAAGAGUGUUUAGGUUUAUCUCGAACACCCCGGUACUAGUUACAUGGGGGCAGAAGCCGACGACUGGCCAACUCUCAGAUUUUAUAAACGGCCGCACAGAAGGUAAAAUUUUAAAUCAACAAGCGUUAUAUAGCGCAAAUGAACUCGUUUUCAUAUUACAGGAUCACAUGAGUACAUUCAUUCAAAUAUUACAUCCUUAGCACACUCCUCCGCCACAAGGCGGGCGACCUUCAGGACACUGUCAUAAUACUUUUCGAGGUGGCGGUGCUCCUUUCCCUUCGGCGCCCCCUCCGUCACCAUCUUCUCAAUAUCCAUCUUUGCCCAGUGCACUUUCGCAUGGGCGAAGGCCCUGCGCGCACCUUCAAUGCAGACUGACUGCUUUAUGGCUUCAAGCCGCUGGCAGACGUUUACAAGCCGCUUCACGAGGCCAAAGUAGCUGUUGGGCAAGGGCUCAGUAGGCCACAUCCAGACUAUAAGGUCCUUCAUGGCCAGUUUGGCCGCCUUGUACAAUUCGACCAGUUGCUUCAGCUGGUCGCUCAAGGGCAUCGGAUGUUCGGUCCCAAUAUAUUGAGACCAGAACAACUUUUCCGUCGAGCUCCCUUCUUCGGCCCGGUAGAACUCCGCGACAUCUGAUAUGUUGCAUGGCAGAUCUAUGAACGCUCCUGGAGAGCUCCGAAUUCGGGUAAGUAAAAGGAAAGUUUCCUUCACAUGCUUGCUUUGCAUGAUGAAUGCCUUACCCGCCGCUAUCUUCUUGGUUGCCUAAAUCUCCUGGAGGGCCCUUUGGGCUUUGGCUUUGGCGUCUCGCACGCUCUGGAGGGCCUCAGCAAGCUCGGACUCUCGCGUCUUAGAGUCAUGCUCCAAGGACUCGUAUUUUUUGACAAAAUCCUAGAGCUCUUGCUGGACCUCAUCGACACGGGCCUCUUGCUUCUCACGCUCGGUUCGCUCCUUGGUUGCUUUGUCUUCGGCCUCGGAAAACACCUUCUUAAGGGCCGCCACUUCGGUCGUGGCCCCUAUUAAAGUUCAUGACACUUCUAUAAACUAAAACCAUUUUUCUUUAUCAAUAUACAGAUGGGGUAUCACUUACCUUUGUUCUCCUCGAGCUGCCUCUUCACGAGGACGAGCUCUCCCUCAGUCCGCUCCAGGUCCUGCUUCAGUCCAGAGACCUCCGCAGUACGAGCGGCAGCGGCCAGUAGUGACACCUGCUUAUUCACAUGGACAUUUUCUGUUAGACUCCUGCGGAUGUUAUUUUAUCCUCUGUUCAGCCUUUCUUUUCCGAACGCCAAGCAGAGCAUCAGGGGCUACUGUCUAUACUAUGAUAUUUUCUCAUAAUUUGAUUACUUACCUCAAAGCCUGUUAGGAGGCUGGCGCGGUCUUCGGUCAAUCUGCUUUUGGCUGACCGAACCUUCUCGAUCACCGCACUCAUGAUGGUGCGGUGCUCUUCGUCAAUGGAAGCGCCGCGAAGCACUUCCAGCAAGUUAUCUGAUGCCUAUGGAUGGACAGAGGUCAUCGGCACGGACGGCUCGCCCACCUUAGAGAGAGGCUGCCUGCCUGAAUCCGGAACCACCGCGGGUUCCGGUGCAACAUCCGGCUGAGGGCCAGACUUGUUGCGGCCCCCAUCAUCAGCAUCCAUGGGGGUCUUCCCUCCCAUGUGCCCGUUGUCUGGGAUUUUGCCUUGGGGCGUCUCCAGAACUGUCUCCUCCUGGUCCGGUAUCCUCUGAGACAACACCUCGGUGUCGUCUGCGGGCCAGGGGGAGGUGGCCAUUGGGAGUGAAUCGUUAUUCAUCGCCGACUGGCCCAAAGACCCAUCCGAGGAGGAUACGUCGAUGUGGGCUUUGGCCGGACUACACGAUCAUGUUUGGCAUGAUAAGAAACGAUAAAGCAGAACAUACCGGAAGUAUUAUAGUGCCCGGAUACUUACGACUUCGCCAGGGGCUUGUCCCUGGGCAACCACUCCUUGCCGCUGUAGGCGGCUGUGGUGGAGUGGUCCAGAGGGAGGGUCUUUCCUUUCUUGGACCCUUCGGCCUUCCCGGAUGGGGCGACCUUCCUUUUCUUUUCCCCCUGGUUUGGGGGGGGGGGNNNNNNNNNNNNNNNNNNNNNNNNNNNNNNNNNNNNNNNNNNNNNNNNNNNNNNNNNNNNNNNNNNNNNNNNNNNNNNNNNNNNNNNNNNNNNNNNNNNNNNNNNNNNNNNNNNNNNNNNNNNNNNNGGGGGGGGGGGAGGGAGGGAUUUCCUCUUACUCAUCCUCAUUUUCGUUGGAGGAGCAUGCUUUGGUGUCUUUGGACGAUGAGUCUGAUACAACCUUGCACCGGAGAACUUUCCUGGUCCCCACGACCUUCUUCUUGGCCUUCUUCUCCGGCACCUCGUAGGGCGCCGGAAACAACAUCUUCGUUAAGAUAGGCGAUGCUGGAUCUUCGGGUAAUGGAGCUGGACAGUCAAUCCACUCCGCUAUCGCUACCCAGUCAUGUCAGAUUGGCAUGGAGGUUCAGAUUCCUCCCGCGGGUGUGCUAGUAAAAGGCACAUCUUGCAAAAUAUAAAAACUCACCGGGUUGGCGGGGCGCUUUGCACUGAGUCCGCGAUCUUCGACUAUGGGUGGUGGUACCUCGGCGGCCUUGAACAGCACCUUCCAGACAUCUUCGUGCGUCAUGUCGAAGAGCUCUCGCAGCGUCUGGUGUUCGGCUGGGUCGAACUCCCACAUAUUGAAAGCCCGUCUCUAACACGGAAGGAUCCGGUGGAAGAGCAUGACCUGGACCACGUUGACAAGCUUGAUUUUCUUGCUUAUCAUAUUUUUGACGCAGGUUUGCAGUCCGGUCAGCUCCACCGACGAGCCCCAGGCUAAGCCCUUCUCUUUCCAGGAGGUGAGCCGCAUGGGGAUGCCGGAUCGUAAUUCGGGGGCCGCUGCCCAGUUGGUGUCGCGUGUCUCGAUGAUGUAGAACCACCCCGAUUAUCACCCCUUCACGGUCUCCACAAAGGAGCCUUCGGGCCAAGUGACAUUGGGCAUCUUGCCCACCAUGGUGGCGGCACUCCACUUGCUGGCCGACCACCACCUUCGGCUUCACGUUGAAGGUCUUCAGCCAUAGGCCAAAGUGGGGCGUAAUGCAGAGGAAGGCCUCGCACACGACGAUAAAUGCCGAUAUGUUGAGGAUGAAAUUGGGGGCCAGAUCAUGGAAGUCCAGCCCGUAGUAAAACAUGAGCCCGCGGACAAAUGGGUGGAGGGGGAAUCCCAGUCCGCGGACAAAGUGAGAGAGAAACACUACCCUCUCCUGAGGCUUCAUGGUAGGAAUGAUCUGCCCUUCGGUAGGGAACCGGUGCGCGAUGUCUGCGGCCAGGUAUCCGGCUUCCUGAAGCUUCGUGAUGUCCUCCGCCUUAAUGGAGGAGGCCAUCCACUUGCCUCCCGCUCCGGACAUGCUUGGAAUGACUUUGCGGAGAAGGAGAAAGCUUGGGAGCUAGAGCUCGAGCGAGGGGGAAUGGAUGAGCAGAGGAAGAAGAAGGUGUGGGUGGAGAAAGGUGGAUCCUUAUCUCUUUAUAAAGGCGGUAGAAACCAUGCACCUCCCCACUCGCCCCGUAAACUCGCUUAUUCCCCAAGCAUCGUGUUGAUGGCGCGGUUGGGUUACCCACACCUGUAUUGAUGAGAAUCCCGUGAUAAGGGGACACGAUCUCUACUUCGACAAGACGUGCCAAGGAAACCGCCUCACAAUAUGUGCAACAGCUGGUUGAGAAAAAUGGUUCGAAUAAUGACCGGGUCAUGGCGUGAUGUCACGCUAUGAAAAGUUGUCAGCAGAUUAGAUUUGUGGAAUAUUGUACUCUCUACGGUGGUAUGUGGAAUUUUUUUUGCAGAGCCGGACACGAUCCUUGUGUUCAAAAUCUUCUAUGGAGUAUUAGGAGAAGGAACCCGCCUUGCAAUGCCGAAGACAAUCUGCGCGCCGGACUCAUCGUCAUUGAAGCCUGGUUCAGGGGCUACUGAGGGAGUCCUGUAUUAAGGGGUCCUCGGACAGCCGGACUAUGUACUUGUGCCGGACUGUUUGACUAUGAAGAUACAAGAUUGAAGACUUCGUCCCAUGUCCCGGUGGGACUCUCCUUUGCAUGGAGGGCAAGUUUGGCAAUUCGGAUAUGUAGAUCUCCUUCUCUGUAACUGACUAUGUGUAACCCUAGCCCCCUCCGGUGUCUAUAUAAACCGGAGGGUUUAGUCCGUAGGACAACGACAAUCAGAAUCAUAGGCUAGCUUCUAGGGUUUAGCCUCUACGAUCUCGUGGAAGAUCAACUCUUGUAAUACUCAUAUCAUCAAGAUCAAUCAAGCAGGAAGUAGGGUAUUACCUCCAUCGAGAGGGCCCGAACCUGGGUAAACAUUGUGUCCCCGCCUCCUGUUACCAUUAGCCUCAGACGCACAGUUCAAGACCCCCUACCCGAGAUCCACCGGUUUUGACACCGACACCAGGGGCUUCGGUUUUGGCCUUUUUGCCGGUACUAGGGUUGCUAGAAUCUUCAAUAGCCAGCACUGACUUUUCCUUGCGCUUUUUAUUGCGCUUCCAGUUCUUCCCCUUCGGGUUGGUGGACUUGUCGUCAUCCUCGGAAUCAACCUCGACGUCGUCCUCCUCCCUGGGGAGUCGCCUUCCUUCCUCCAUAUGGGGCACUUAUCUGCCAAGGUGUAUAACUCAUUUACAGUCUUGGGCAACCAGACGUUCAUUUUGGAACGUAUCCUUCUAUUUCACAUGUUCGACUGGAACGCAACAAUUACAGCUGCUAGGUGGAUCUCUGGAAUGUUCUUGUGUACCCGGCUAAACCUCUGCAUAUACUUCUACAACUCUCCCCUUCCUUCCGUGCAAGGAUUUACAAACCACUGUGUCAUCCAGGUUCUUGAUGGUGGCCCGUGAAGGUGCCAAAAAAUCCAUUGCACAAGUCAGCCCAUGAUGAAAUGGAAUUCUCGGGCAGGUGCAUCAGCUAUGACCUCACAUUUGGCUUGAGCGCUAAAGGGAAGUAGUUGGCGAACACCUUCUCAUCCCUACCUCCAGCGGCUUGAAGAGGAAUUGUAUAAAUGCUCAAGAACUCUACCGGGUUCAGCUUUCCAUUGUACUUUGCUGGCAACUCAGUCUUGAAGACGUACGUGGGAAGAAGGCCAGCGGACUUGCGCAGCUCGCGAGUGAAGGCAGGGCACCCAACCUCAAAAGGUAAGUACCUUGUAGCGACCCGACCCGAAUGGAUCGAAUCUCUGUGCUUAAGUGUCAUCCCUGGAUCGCUAUGCUGACACACACAGUACUCAAGGAUUUAUAACAGAGGUAAAUCACAUGUAUAAAGUAACGUAAAUACUAUUACCUCAAAUCCAAAUAGUGGAAGUAACAAGGUUGUGGAUUCCCAUCAACACCAACGGCAAAGUUGAGUGUAGAAACCAUAACCCUAACGUAUCACUUACUCGUCGUAAGAUCCUGCAACAUGAGACGUUGCAGCCAUGUAGGUCAGUACAUUGAAUGUACUGGCAAAUCCACACCAUAGAGCAAUGAUGAAUAAAGGCUAUCACUACAUGCAUAUUUGGCUGGUGGAGGCUCUAUGGUUAUAAUCUUUUUGCGAAAAGCCAAUUUUUCCCUACUUCAAAGGAAUAAAAUUUUAUUUACUAUCAUGGUGGUUGUUAAACAUUGAGAAUGGUUGACAGCAUUCUCAAUCCCAAUUAAGUAACAUCAUCAUUAAAACCCAACAAUAUUAAUUGUAGUAACAUGAUGAGAUCAACAUGAUAAUCCAAGAACUAGAUACUCAAGAUGUCCAUAACCGAGGACACGGCUAAUCAUGAUUAGUUUGUACACUUUGCAGAGGUUUGCGCACUUUUCCCCACAAGACUCAAUCACCUACGUUGGAUUUCUCGCACUACACGGUGUUUGAGAAACGGAUGACCGAGACAUAGUCUUUCAGAAGCGCUAGCACCUUACGAUGUGAUAGACCGUACCAACCUACAUCCCCUACAGCUGCUAGUCUACCACUGUAAGAGUUCGCACGACUUAGUCAGCUAUGCUAGAGCCCAUAGUAGCAUGUGGCUGCACACGGAAGUUUCUAGCAUGAAUAAUCUUAUGAUCCCUUUGAGCCUGGGUGGCGGUCCGAAGAAAAACAGGCAAAUCCUGGAAACCAGGUACCUCAAUCCACCCAGAUGUGUAUUAAUGUUGCCACCUUAAACAAACCAUUAAUUAACAAUCUCACAUCUGUCAUGGAAAAUCACUCAUCCAAUCCACAUCUACUUGUAUAGCAUGGCAAAAUAAGCAAACGUAGAAGUAACUCCCAAGGGUUUGAUAAUAAAACAGGUAAUAGGUACUACCUCAAUCUACUUCCCGAAACCCACAAUUUAAUUAGAUCCAAAUCAUGCAAUGUUUGAGGAUUGAUCUAAUGCAUAAAAACUGGGUAUGAAAAGGGAUAUGAUCAAAGUGUGAACUUGCCUGUACUGUUGAUGAAGAUGAUUCGCACUCAAUUCCUGAUAGUUCUAUUCGUCUCACUCCGUUCAAUCUAUCGUAAGCAAGCAAUAGUAACCACACAUAAGCAAUCACUCAAAAGAUCAGAGAGAACGAAGAAAACAAAUCGGAAAACAUCAAAACCAGCCAAAUAACUCUUACAGCAUAAAACAAUUUCUAACAGUACCAAAACUAUGUGAAUUUGGCCUUAUCAGAAAGUUUAUGUCAAGAGCUUCGUUUUGCAAAAGAAUCAACUAAAUCGGAGUUACGAAACUCAAGUUACAAACGAAACAAGAUUGAAUAAUAAACUGGACUAAACUCAAUUUUUAAAUUGUCAAAAACAUGUUUAAGUUGUUUAUCUGGAUAGAGGGGAUCAUAACGAAGAAGUGAGCGCUGGUUUCGUUGGAUUCCGACUAAUGAACAAAAAGUAGUGAUUGUUUUAAGAACAGGGACUAAUCUGUAAAUAAAAUAUUCACAGACGGGUCCCUGGCCGAAAUAAACAGAAAUCAGAAAGGCUAAAUAGUGAAUGUUCGUUUAUAAGAUCUAAAUAGUGGACGUUCGCUGUUUACUAAAACCUAAAAAAAACAGAUCUAGUCUAGGGUUUAAGAAAAACCGAACCUAAAAGAAAAACCGAUCAGACCGGGGCGGUUUUAUACCGGUUGGCAGUGGUUUUCGACGAAGAACCAGCGACGGUGGUUACUCCGGCGAAACGAGAUGGCGGCGGCGGCUCGGGUCCGGCCGGGGCGGCAGCUCCGUUGGCCCUCUGGCUCGGCGGAGUGAACGGGGGGGAUGCGGUGCGGGACGACGGUGAGAUGGGUGGUGGCUGCGGCGGUGGUGCAACACGGUGGCGGUGGCAGUUGGCAUCGGCGGCGGCGGCAACCGAUGGCGGCGGCGGCGAAUCCGGCGAGGGGCGGCGGUGGCGGCGAAAACGGGACCCAGGGGCCCCGGGGUGGCCUUUUAAAGAGGGCAGGAGAGGACGGUGGCGUGGGGAAGGGGGCACGGAGGCCGGGGCGGACACGGCGGCGGCGACGAUGCCGUGGCAGCUCGGGACUUCGUCCCGAGCUCGGGAACAAGCGGCGUGGGCGACGUGGGCUGGCUGGGCCGUGGCCUGGCUGGCUAGCUGGGCCGGCCCAGUUGGCGGAAGUUUUUUUAUUAAACAGACAAACAAAAUAAAAACAAACGAAAUAGAAAUAUUAUAUACGCAUAUAAUAUGUCAAAAUUUUCAAAAAAAGAUUUCCUACAAGCUGAACAUUUUUCUAGAGUCAAAUACAAUACACACAAAUUCAAAUAAAGCAAAGAGUGCUUCUGCUCUAGUAAAAUCCAGUAAAAAUCAUUUUAAAAAUACUAAAAUUAAUUCAAAUUUAUUUCUCUCCAAUUUUCUGAUGUAGGGAAUCAUGUUGCCCUAUUUUCCAUAUAUUUAAAUUUUUGGAGAAAAAUAAUUUGAAUAAAACUCGAAUAACUCCAAAUUGAAAAUAAAUUCAAAAGAACUUUGAAUUUAAUUCUUUGAAACUCCCAACUCAUAUUUCAUAUGUUUUGAAGAAGUCAUUUUAUCUUCGCACGUGAAAAUCAUUGAGUUGCAUAAAGUUCCUGGGUUGGAAAUAUUUUCCAAAUGAAAUUCAAUUAUUUUCAACACCCCUUGUCAUUUAAAUAAAUGGAAGAAGUCAUGUCGUCUUCUCUCCAGGGUUUUGUGGUGAAAAGAAUUUGAAUUCAUGAAGAUCAAAAUGCAAAAUGAAAGUUUGGGAAAGUCCUUUUAUUCCCUCUCAUUUAACUUUCAAAAAGUUUCAAAAUCACUCAAUUUCACACAAGCAAUCAAACAAUCAAUCAAAACUAUCUAUUUGUUUAUAACAUUCCAAAAUUUAGAAUUUUGGGAUGUUACAAACCUACCACCCUUAAAAUAAAUCUCGUCCUCGAGAUUCAGAGAGGCUAGCAAGAAAUAGGUUAGGGUCGAGGUCUUCUCAAAAUCCAUCGAUCGUCACAGGGGGUCUCGGGUGCUACCACCCUUAGAAGCAUUGUUACGGUUCCAUCAAAACUCAUAUACUCCAUCCUUAUUCCUGACAGUGUCGGUCUUCUCAAAUCUCGGGAAAAAUUCCUUCUCUGGGAUCUUCGGGUAGUGGCUUAACCUUUUCCUCAAUUCUUUUAUCCUUUCAUCUUGGUACGUUUCUUCUGGGACUGGGUAUUCAUAGCUGACGGGUCUGGCGCCAAUACUAAACAACUAUCGAUAUCUCAUGGUCGUCAACAGUUUAUGGUUGCUCCUGCAGGAAAUGGGUCUGGGUUGAACCUCAUCGUAUAUCCUAAUAUUGGCAACAACUGCCAUGUACAAGGAAACGUACUUAUACAAUUCUAAGGUUUAAACAAGGUUUUGAUCGUCGUCUGUCUACUAUGGGUAAGGCACUCAGAUUUACCAUCCCACAUAGUAAGGCGAAUAAUAAGAGUAAGUCGGUAUGGUGAUCAAUCCAUCCCGCACCCGAAUCAUUAUCUUGUAUAUGGUUUAGCGAAUCUCGCAUGCUAACACUCGGUCAACCUCACAAGCAUUGCAGAAUUUCUCUUGUCGACGAACCAAGUUCGGAUAAAUCCAUUGAUUCUGCAAGCCAAACAAACAUCUAUCAUUUUCCUCACAACUCUCAGGUUUUGCGUUGCUCCUAUAAAAUCGUUGGUUGAUAAAGGCAUAUCCUCUUCCAGGGUUUUUCCUUCAGCAAGAGUGUGCUUGCUUCUUGGCAGGUCCUGGGGCCUGUGGGUUAUGGCCCAUCUCAUCACUUGUAAACCUUGAACUCAUCCUCGAGGCAACUGAUCAUUAUACAAACAUCCAACUUCCUAGCAUUCAUAAAUCCAUCCAAUGGUACUGUCUUCCUUCCUUCUACUGGUACACAACUAAGAAGUGAUUACUCAAACUCAUCCUGGAGAUACAAUUGCCCCAUACUUCCAACAUCAUACCUCCUUUAUAUCCAACCGUACUUCAUCCCUUCAUACUCUUGGGAUAUCCCACAUAUCACGACAAAACUCGUACUUGUUUAGUCCGAAAUCCACUCUGUGGAAUAUCAUUACCCUUUCCAGGGGUCAAAUCUCCUCACAAGGUACUACCACCCUUAAAAUGCUCUAAUCUCAUCCAUAGACCUUAUUUCUCAUAUCCUCGAAAAUGGUCAAGAUCUUUGUUCAUAGAGUAACAACUCAUAAAAUCCAAAUCAGUACCAACGAUGAUAACUUUAUUGAUUCUCCAAUUACUACAAUCUCCUGUAUUUACAUUACAUGCCUCAACUCAACACCUCAAUAUAAAAGAAUUGUUCCCACUACUACUACUACUACUACAUUUCUUUUGUUGCUAACUCAACUAUUUAGCACAAGUCUCCUUCUCCUUGGGACAAUCUCUUGCAAAUUGCCCUUCUUCAUUUCAACGAAAACAUAUUACUUCCGACAAGUCUUGAAGUUUCCUUGUGAUUACAUAGCCUCCUUGGGUCCUCGGCUUCCUUUUUGGGCAACUGCUGGAGUAGUGCCCUAACUCCUUGCACCUGAAACAAGUGAUGUGACUCAGGUCCUUCCUGGAAUCCAAUCUAUUUCUCUUCCUGGACUUUUCUGUUCCAAUCAGGGCUUCUAUUUCCUAUGGGUUAUACUCUACUUCCUUUGUCGGAAAUUCUACUAGAUCUCCAUUCGGACAAUCUUGGGAGAUGUGUCCUUCUUCUCCACAUGAAUAGCAUGACUUAAUGCAUGCUUUAAUUUUGUUUCCCUUGUGUGUGUCCUCGACAUCUUCCUUCAUCACAGGUUCUUCUAAAGUUUCCUUGAGGGCUCCUUUCAUUGUUUCUUUCUUUUGCUGGAUGGUUCCCUGUACCAUGGGGUAAAUGUGACACUGAGCAGGGUAGUGGCUAGUUCCUUCACACAAUAAACAAUUAAUCUGCCUAGUUGGGCAUUCUUCAGCUGGGUGACUUCCUUCACAAUUAAGGCAUUCAUCCUGGUGUUCUUUAGGGUUGUGUCCUAUUUCUCCACAAAUCUUACAUGCACACGGCUUCUUCAUAUCCUUUCCAUAAGGCUUCAUCUUCUGGGACACAAGCCGAGACUUUAGCAGAGUCAACUUAAAUUCAUUCCAAGUGGUUACUCCUUGCCAUCCAUUGAUGGUUUGGUACAACCAAGUAGCAGCACCUCUUUCAAAGCAUUGAAGAGCAUGCUGGGCCAUAUCCUUUCUGGCUAUAGGGUUAUUCUUCAUGUGAUCCUCCAUGUUCUGAAUCCAUCGGUCCGUCUCUAAUUGACUCAUCGGUCCAGGUAAUAUGAGCUCAUCUCCAUUCAUCCUCUAUUGGGUCCAAGGGUUUUGGGGUGAGACAAGAGAGAUAGAGAGGGGUACACACAAUACAAACAAUAGUUUUGAAAAGGGCAUUUUAUUUUGUGGCUGUCAGAAAAACAUCAAACGAAUGACAGCUCACAAACAUCGCAUCUAACGUAAGUAUAAUGGGGUUUGGUCUUAUAAUGGUCAAUAAAUCUUCAAGGUCUUCAAACUCUUCAAGUCUUGCUUAUGUCUUUGAUGGCUUCUUCCGAUCGUGUUUGUCCUUCUCAAGUUCUUUUGCCAAAUCAUCUCUGUUGACGCGAAGUCUCUCAUGACAUCCUUUAGUAUUUCUGGGGUUGCAUUCCAAACUUCUGGGUUUCAACAUCCUUGGCAUGAACCAUGGUCCUACUAUCCUUCAGUUCCUGACAAAUCUCCGGUAUCUUGAGGUUUAGCUCCUCCAGCUUGGCUACUUUCAGCUUCUGAUUCCGAGUGCUUCACGAAUUGCCUCCUUGUCAAAUAUAGCUUCGUGCAUAUCCAUCUUAAACUUCUUGAUGUAUUACUCCAGAUCCUAGUGAUACACCAGCUAAGGUUAAAACUGCAUCCUUUGCUGACAGAUGCUCCAUCAGCCUUCUAUCAUCCAAUCCUUCCAUGCAUCUGCAUGCUUAACACCUCACGGUGAUGAUAACAUGAGCGAGCGAUAGCAUCAUGGAUAUCCAUGUUUAUGACGAUGUCUCUGCCAUGAUCUAUCAUUCCAUAACUGAUAUCUCCUGUCUUGGGGUUUUCUUGACAAAACUUUGGUUUCUAAUGCUUCAUGCUCUAGUCUUUCUCCGAUACACCUUGAUUCUUGGGUAUUGAUAGCUUCCUUAGUCUGACAAGCUCUAUCAGAGUAGUCUUCCUAGGUCAUACCAAUCUGGAAAUUCCUUAAAGCCUUCAAAUUCUCCUAGUCUUCGGAGUCUUCAACUGUUGUAGUUUGCACGGUAAAAAUCCUCUUUAUUCCAACGUGGUCUUAAUUGUCCGAUAUCUUGUACUUCUUGGAGUGGCCUCAUCAGUCGAAUCUUCGAGGGGUCAAAAGGGGAAAAGGGGUAUAGUCUCUCUAAAAGGGAAUAUUUGAAUAAGCUCAGAAGAGAAGAGAGGUAAAAGAUCCUUUUUGAAAAGAAAAUUGUAGAGAAAAUCUUUCCUAUUGGCUUGCCAGUUUCUAGGGUCACAUCCUACAGUCAACAUGUGCUCUAAUACCAUCUUGUAGCGACCCAACCCGAAUGGAUCGAAUCUCUGUGCUUAAGUGUCAUCCCUGGAUCGGUAUGCUGAUACACACAGUACUCGAGGAUUUAUAACAGAGGUAAAUCACAUGUAUAAAGUAACGUAAAUACUAUUACCUCAAAUCCAAAUAGCGGAAGUAACAAGGUUGUGGAUUCCCAUCAACACCAAUGGCAAAGUUGAGUGUAGAAACCGUAACCCUAACGUAUCACUUACUCAUCGUAACAUCCUGCAACAUGAGACGUUGCAGCCAUGUAGGUCAGUACAUUGAAUGUACUGGCAAAUUCACACCAUAGAGCAAUGAUGAAUAAAGGCUAUCACUACAUGCAUAUUUGGCUGGUGGAGGCUCUAUGGUUAUAAUCUUUUUGCGAAAAGCCAAUUUUUCCCUACUUCAAAGGAAUAAAAUUUUAUUUACUAUCAUGGUGGUUGUUAAACAUUGAGAAUGGUUGACAACAUUCUCAAUCCCAAUUAAGUAACAUCAUCAUUAAAACCCAACAAUAUUAAUUGUAGUAACAUGAUGAGAUCAACAUGAUAAUCCAAGAACUAGAUACUCAAGAUGUCCAUAACCGAGGACUUGGCUAAUCAUGAUUAGUUUGUACACUCUGCAGAGGUUUGCGCACUUUUCCCCACAAGACUCGAUCGCCUCCGUUGGAUUUCUCGCACUACAUGGUGUUUGAGAAACGGAUGACCGAGACAUAGUCUUUCAGAAGCGCUAGCACCUUACGAUGUGAUAGACCGUACCAACCUACAUCCCCUACAUCUGCUAGUCUACCACUGUAAGAGUUCGCACGACUUAGUCAACUAUGCUAGAGCCCAUAGUAGCAUGUGGCUGCACACAGAAGUUUCUAGCAUGAAUAAUCUUAUGAUCCCUUUGAGCCUGGGUGGCGGUCCGAAGAAAAACAGGCAAAUCCUGGAAACCAGGUACCUCAAUCCACCCAGAUGUGUAUUAAUGUUGCCACCUUAAAUAAACCAUUAAUUAUCAAUCUCACAGCUGUCAUGGAAAAUCACUCACCCAAUCCACGUCUACUUGCAUAGCAUGGAAAAAUAAGCAAACGUAGAAGUAACUCCCAAGGGUUUGAUAAUAAAACAGAUAAUAGGUACUACCUCAAUCUACUUCCCGAAACCCACAAUUUAAUUAGAUCUAAAUCAUGCAAUGUUUGAGGAUUGAUCUAAUGCAUAAAAACUGGGUAUGAAAAGGGAUAUGAUCAAAGUGUGAACUUGGUUGUACUGUUGAUGAAGAUGAUUCGCACUCAAUUCCUGAUAGUUCUAUUCAUCUCACUCCGUUCAAUCUAUCGUAAGCAAGCAAUAGUAACCACACAUAAGCAAUCACUCAAAAGAUCAGAGAGAACGAAGAAAACAAAUCGGAAAACAUCAAAACCAACCAAAUAAUUGUUGCAGCAUAAAACAAUUUCUAACAGUACCAAAACUGUGUGAAUUUGGCCUUAUCAGGAAGUUUAUGUCAAGAGAUUCGUUUCGCAAAAGAAUCAACUAAAUCGGAGUUACGAAACUCAAGUUACAGACGAAACAAGAUUGAAUACUAAUCUGAACCAAACUCAAUUUUUAAAUUGUCAAAAACAUGUUUAAGUUGUUUAUCUGGAUAGAGGGGAUCAUAACGAAGAAGUGAACGAUGGUUUCGUUGGAUUCCGACUAACGAACAAAAAGUAGUGAUUGUUUUAAGAACAGGGACUAAUCUAUAAAUAAAAUAUUCACAGACGGGUCCCUGGCCGAAAUAAACAGAAAUUAGAAAGGCUAAAUAACGAACGUUCGUUUAUAAGAUCUAAACAGUGGACGUUCGCUGUUUACUAAAACCUAAAAAAAUACAGGUCUAGUCUAGGGUUUAAGAAAAAUGGAACCUAAAAGAAAAACCGAUCAGACCGGGGCGGUUUUAUACCGGUUAGCAGCGGUUUUCGACGAAGAACCGGCGACGGCGGUUACUCCGGCGAAACGAGACGGCGGUGGCGGCUCGGGUCCGGCCGGGGCAGCANNNNNNNNNNNNNNNNNNNNNNNNNNNNNNNNNNNNNNNNNNNNNNNNNNNNNNNNNNNNNNNNNNNNNNNNNNNNNNNNNNNNNNNNNNNNNNNNNNNNNNNNNNNNNNNNNNNNNNNNNNNNNNNNNNNNNNNNNNNNNNNNNNNNNNNNNGGUGAGAUGGGUGGUAGCUGCGGCGGUGGUGCAGCGCGGCGGCAGCGGCAGUUGGCAUCGGCGGCGGCGGCAACCGAUGGCGGCGGUGGCGGAUCCGGCGAGGGGCGGUAGUGGCGGCGAAAAUGGGACCCAGGGGCCCCGGGGUGGCCUUUUAUAGAGGGCAGGAGAGGGCGAUGGCGUGGGGAAGGGGGCACGGUGGCCGGGGCGGACACAGCGGCGGCAACGAUGCCGUGGCGGCUCGAGACUUCGUCCCGAGCUCGGGGACGAGCGGCGCGGGCGACGUGGGCUGGCUGGGCCGUGGCCUGGCUGGCUAGCUGGGCCGGCCCAGUCGGCGGAAGUUUUUUUAUUAAACAGACAAAUAAAAUAAAAACAAAUGAAAUAGAAAUAUUAUAUAGGCAUAUAAUAUGUCAAAAUUUUCAGAAAAAGAUUUCCUACAAGCUGAACAUUUUUCUAGAGUCAAAUACAAUACACACAAAUUCAAAUAAAGCAAAGAGUGCUUCUGCUCUAGUAAACUCUAGUGAAAAAAUUUUAAAAAUACCAAAAUUAAUUCAAAUUUAUUUCUCUCCAAUUUUUUGAUGUAGGGAAUCAUGUUGCCCUAUUUUCCAUAUAUUUAAAUUUUUGGAGAAAAAUAAUUUGAAUAAAACUCAAAUAACUCCAAAUUGAAAAUAAAUUCAAAAGAACUUUGAAUUUAAUUCUUUGAAACUCCCAACUCAUAUUUCAUAUGUUUUGAAGAAGUCAUUUUAUCUUCGCUCGUGAAAAUCAUUNNNNNNNNNNNNNNNNNNNNNNNNNNNNNNNNNNNNNNNNNNNNNNNNNNNNNNNNNNNNNNNNNNNNNNNNNNNNNNNNNNNNNNNNNNNNNNNNNNNNUGCUGUUGCUGUUGCUGUUGUUGUUGCUGUUGCUAUUGUUGUUGCUGUUGCUGUUGCUGUUGUUGGUGUUGGUGUUGGUGUUGGUGUUGGUGUUGGUGUUGCUGUUGCUGUUGCUGUUGCUGUUGUUGUUGUUGUUGUUGUUGUUGUUGUUGUUCGCGGACGCGGGUGCUGAGAUUUUCCGGCCUCAGCGAAGACGAUCAAACUCUGAAUGGUGGCUCUCCACUCGUCCAGUUGAUCAGCCGUUGGUGGAAAUCUUAGCAGGAGUUGGGCCCGCGCCAUAGGUUUUGAAGUGGUGCUUGGCAUAGACGACGAGGUAGAUUGCGACGUCGCUUGACUCCUGGUAACACCAGCAGGAGCAUUGCCGCGUUCGUGCCGUCGCGAGCCGGUCACCAAGGCGGUUGGGUUACGAGUGGAGCGCGCUCAGGGAUCGGUAACCCUGUUUGGCAGUCUGCAUUGGUCUAGGCAUGGUGUGUCUCUAGCAACCGCACCCGUGGCAGGGGCUAUUGGAGGAUCACGACUCACGCUAGAGCGGGUGUUGUCACUACGGUUGCGUCCACUAGCACGGUGGGGUGGUGGGGACUGAACGUUCCCACCAUCCGCGCCUUGUGGAUUAUGGCCGUCGGGAUGUUGUUGACGACGCUCUCCCUUGGCGUCUUCCGCUCCAACCUCGACCACAGGGGACACAACGACAGCGCCGCCCGCGCUGGUCGUGUCACCUAUGGCACCUGCCUCACCUAAUGCCGCCGUAGCGCCUACGACGUCAGCGCCUACAUGCGAGGGGGCCUUCGAAGUGGAAGGAUGAGCUGCUGGGCCGGUCUUCUUCUUGGGCGCCAUGGUUGAAAAUGAUUAUGAUCAACACGUUGUUCACAACCUCGGGUUCGCGCAAGCGCCUCCCCCUUCUUGGCGCACCAAACAUGUCGUGGAGGAACACGAUCACCUAUGGGGCCACUGGCCCCUUGUGGUUCGACAAGGGGAAGAUCACAUUGCACAAAGAGCGGAGGCCAUGGAGCAAAAUGACGAUGGUGAAGCUAGUGGUUUUUACCCAGGUUUAGGCUGUCAUGAGGCGUAAAACCCUACUCCUGCUUUGGUGGAUUUGAUGGAGGAACCCAUUGAACAGUGCAACGCUCAAGCCCGGCAAGGUGACCUCGUGGAGAGCAGCUACACGCGUACAAGUAUGAAAGGGUCCGGAUCCUUUGCUAGGUUGCCUUGGACCGCCUUUUAUAGCUUAAGGGGUGACCACAGUGGCAAAAUAGUCUUUAUCUCAUGAUUAGAUAGCUAACAGUGCUAUCAUACCUAACUCUAGCAGUUAGGACAAAGUGCAUUAAAUGCACUGCUAGGUUUCAUGCUGAGGUUGCAGCCCGACAAGCCUGUCGUGCCGCUUAAUUAUCUUUUGUUUAUCUGCUUAACACGCCUCUGGACGGGUGUCAUAAAAAGGUAGUCUGUCCUCCAAAUGGUUGCCACAUGCCUAGUGGAAGCCACUUAAUCACUUGAGGGCUCGACAGUGCACUGAUAAGUGAUUUGAGUUGUGAUGCGGUCGAGCGAUGGAGCGGUGGAACCUUGGCGGGGAGAUCCGCCCUUGGCGGACCUGGCAAGCCUGCUGGGGAAAUCCUGGACUUGUCCUUGGGGCGGCCUCGACCUGGCCAGGCUCUCCUGCCCGGCAAAGGAGGCUUUCCCAAGGUGACAUCCUACUACCUUGUCUUGUCUUGGUCUUCUUGAUCCACUCUUUGAUCUCUCAAAGAGUUGCUUCUCUGCUUGGUCUCGUGUUGCAUGCUGGUGUAGUUAUUUGAUGCCAAGACGCCUGGGUAUAAGUCAGGGCAAGGAACAUAAAUGUUUGUUGCACCGACAACUGUUAUAUGUGGCUGCAUGUUAUGUAUGAUGUCUAGCUUGUAUUGCUUUUAAUUUUGUUGAAUUCCAUCUGCUUACUUCACACAUUAUACUUGUGAAUAAGACAUGCGUUCAUGUUUCUAGAACAUAUAGUAUCUGUCUAUCACACCAUAUUCUUACAUCAAAGUACUACUGUUGUGUAACCUGCAACAAUCACUUAUCAUAAGACACGUUUAACAUGGGAGUGUGAUAUAGGUUACAUCUCGCAUUCUUUUCUAGCUUGUACUACUUCUAAUUUGUUGAAAUGGCACUUAUGGUGAGACAAUUUUAACUUGGUAAAGUGAUAUUCGUUGCAUCUUUCAUAUGGUGUCUAGUUUUCAUUGCUUCUAAUUUUUUGAAAUGACUUCUGCUUAUUUUACACAUCAUAGCUGUGAAUAUGCAAUGUUGUCCUUUUUUCUUACACAUUCAAUCGUCCUAUAAUGCGGUUGCCUUGCAUUAGAGUAGUGCUCGUCAGCAUCCUGCAUCAAUGAGUUAUGAAAAGCGAUUUUUUUACAUUUUUCUCGUGGGUCUUACUUGACAAGGCAAUAAAAUUAAGUAAUAGGAAGGAAAAAAUUAAGGCAGGGACUGAUGGCGGUCUUCUGGAGAAACCGACAUCCCAAGUGCUUUCUCUAGCUAGGUAGUAUGAUAUUGUCUUGCAUGUUGCAUAAGGUGUCUAGCUUGUAUCGCUUGUAAUUUGAUUAAAUUACUUAUGCUUAGUUUACAAAAAUAGUUGUGAAUAUGCCAUGCCGUCCUCUUUUUCAUACAUAUUCCAUCCUCGUAUCAUGUGUUUACUUUACAUCAGAGUAGUUAUUGUCAGUAUCAUGCAUGAACGAGUUCUGAAGAGUGAAUUUUAUUGCUUUUUCUUGUCGGUUUUACUUGACAAUGCAAAAUCAUUAAAGUGGAAGGAAAUUAGCAAGGCAGAUGAUAAUGGUGCUCCUUCCGACCAAUUAAAAUGGAGGGCCUCUACAGAUUCUACUCUGCCAUUCUCGCUACCUCUUGAGCACUGCGUUGGUUUUCCCUUGAAUAGGAAAGGGUGAUGCAACAAAGUAGCGUAAGUAUUUCCCUCAGUUUGAGAACCAAGGUAUCAAUACAGUAGGAGGCUCCACGCAAGUCCCUCGUACCUACACAAACAAACAAGAACCUCGCAACCAACACGAUAAAGGGGUUGUCAAUCCCUUCACAGCCACUUGCGAAAGUGAGAUCUGAUAGAGAUAAUAAGAUAAGAUAAAUAUUUUUGGUAUUUUUAUGAUAUAGAUUGAAAAGUAAAGAUUGCAAAAUAAAGUAGAUUGGAAACUUAUAUGAUGGAAAAUAGACCCGGGGGCCAUAGGUGAAAUAAUGGCUUCUCUGAAGAUAGCAUAAGUAUUACGGUGCGUGAACAAAUUACUAUCGAGCAAUUGAUAGAAAAGUGCAUAGUUAUGAUAAUAUCUAGGCAUGAUCAUGUAUAUAGGCACCACGUCCACGACAAGUAGACCGACUCCUGCCUGCAUCUACUACUAUUACUCCACACAUCGACCGCUAUCCAGCAUGCAUCUAGAGUAUUAAGUUCAUAAGAACAGAGUAACACAUUAGGCAAGAUGACAUGAUGUAGAGGGAUAAACUCAAGCAAUAUGAUAUAAACCCCAUCUUUUUAUCCUCGAUGGCAACAAUACAAUACGUGCCUUGCUGCCCCUGCUGUCACUAGGAAAGGACACCGCAAGAUUGAACCCAAAACUAAGCACUUCUCCCAUUGCAAGAAAGAUCAAUGUAGUAGGCCAAACCAAACUGAUAAUUCGAAGAGACUUCCAAAGAUAACCAAUCAUACAUAAAAGAAUUCAUAGGAGAUUCAAAUAUUUCUCAUAGAUAAACUUGAUCAUAAACCCACAAUUCAUCGGAUCUCGACAAACACACCGCAAAAAGAGUUACAUCAAAUAGAUCUCCAAGAAGAUCGAGGAGAACAUUGUAUUGAGAUUCAAAGAGAGAGAAGAGGCCAUCUAGCUAAUAACUAUGGACCCGAAGGUCUGUGGUAAACUACUCACAACUCAUCGGAGAGUUAUGGUGUUGAUGUAGAAGCCCUCCGUGAUCGAUUCCCCCUCCAGCGGAGCACCGAAAAAGGCCCCAAGAUGGGAUCUCACGGGUACAGAAGGUUGCGGCGGUGGAAGUAGGGCUUCGUGGUGCUCCUGGAUGUUUUCGGGGUACAUAAGUAUAUAUAGGCGAAGGAAGUUGGUCAGGGGAGCCACGAGGGGCCCACGAGGGUGGGGGGCACGCCCACCCCCCUAGGGAGCGCCCUGGACCCUCGUGGCCGCCUUGGUUGCUUCUUGACGUCCACUCCAAGUCUCCUGGAUUGCGUUUGUUCCAAAAAGAUCUCUCCCGAAGGUUUCAUUCUGUUUGGACUCCGUUUGAUAUUCCUUUUCUUCGAAACACUGAAAUAGGCAAAAAAAACAGCAAUUUGGGCUGGGCCUCCGGUUAACAGGUUAGUCCCAAAAAUGAUAUAAAAGUGUAUAGUAAAGCCCAUAAACAUCCGAAACGGGUAAUAUAAUGGCAUGGAACAAUCAAAAAUUAUAGAUACGUUGGAGACGUAUCAGCCAUCCCCCAACAAGAUUUGCAAGACAACACAUGCAUAGACACUCAAUGUAGCUGUGUUGACGAUGAGCACGUCUCCCCUAGUCCACCAUCACAGGUGCUGCCUCUAACUUGGCGCUGUUAUAUGUGGUUGCAUGUAUUACUUCUACUUUUGUUGAAUUCCAUCCGUUUACUUUAAACAUUAUACUUGUGAAUAAGACACGUAUUCAUGUUUCUAGAACAUACAAUAUUUGUCUAUCACACCAUGUUCUUACAUGAAAGUACUACUAUUGUGUAACCUACAACAAUCACUUAUCAUAAGACACGUUUAACUUGGGAGUCUGAUAUAGGUUACAUCUCGGAUCAUUUUCUAACUUGUACUACUAAUUUGUUGAAAUGGCACUAAUGACGAGACAGUUUUAACUUGGUAGAGUGAUAUUCGUUGCAUCUUACAUAUGGUGUCUAGGUUUCAUUGCUUCUAAUUUGUUGAAAUGCCUUCUGCCUAGUUUACACAUCAUAGUUGUGAAUAUGCAAUGACACUAAUGACGAGAGACCUUUAACUUCGUAGUGUGAUGUCGUUUGCAUCUUGCAUAUGAUUUAUUUCUUGUACUGCUUCACAUUUGUUUAAAUGCAAUUUAUGACGAGACACUGUUAACUUGGUAGAGCGAUAUUUGUAGCAUCUUUCAUAUGGUGUCUACCUUCCAUUGCAUUGCUUCUAAUUUAUUGAAAUGCCUUCUUCUUAGUGUACACAUCAUAGGUCUGAUUAUCUCAUGCCGUCCUAUUUUUCGUACAUAUUACAUCCUCCUAUCAUGCGGUUGUCUAACAUCAAAGUUCAGAUCAUAUGUAUCAUGCAUCAAUUUGUUCUGAAGAACCAAAAUUUUAUUCCUUCUUCUUGUCGGCUUGACUUGACAUGGCAAAGAGAAAGAGGAAGGAACACAUAAUGGUAGGGGAUGGUGUUAGUACUCAGGACACAUGGAAAUGGAAGUAGAAGAAUUAUGCAGAUUUUACUGGUACUGAUGGUGCAAUAGAAGGUCGAAGUCCACCGAAUAAUUGUACAAACAUAGUAUCCCCUGCUACACUAGCUACAAAACAAUCCAAGCACAAACGAAUAGUUGUCCCCAAACAAGCAACGACCGCCCUAGUUGUUGCAACACCUUCUUCCAUAGUACCAACAUUUGCACGAGUUACUCAUUCUGCAACUCUGCUAGCGGCAAGUUCCCAAGCUCCCUUGCCACCUGACACUACUUCUAAAGCACUCUUGACACAAGACGAGUUGGCAAGAUCAGAUGAACCUUGUGAGAUUCAACAACAAGAAGGUAGUUGCUCGAGUCAAGUUACAAUUGGAU